GAUCCAUGUCUGGAUACACUUGACGAAAUCUCUUUCUCCAUCUCUUGGUGAACAUGUCAAGCUCAUUUGAUCUUGGAACAUAAGAUUUUACACCCAGAACACCUUGCAUUGAUGACUCAAUUACUGAAGGAUCUACCAGGUCCAGAAGACUUGUUAGCACAUCUGUGAUUAUCCAUGCAUAUCCACUGCUCAUCAUCCCGGCUUCUUUGGCCUUGAGGAAAAGGCGGGAGGCAAGAGAUGAUUCUAAGUGUACGAUGAACACCCUGGUCUGCAUUGUAUUCAACUUGUAUAGCUCCCUGAAGAUCUGAUCAUCACUGGCUGAAGGAGAAAUACCACUUCUAUAGGAGACUAAACUGUUGUUUUCCAGCAAGGCAUCUGUCAAAUGUGGAAGCAUCCCGCUUCCAUAGGGGCUAUCCUCAUAGAUUACUACAACGUCCCUCCAAUUAUAGUUUUUAACAAUUGCCGCUAUGGCUUUAGUCUGGCUGGAAGAAGGAAGUGCUCCUCUGAUGAAGAAGGGAUUUUCCUUGACUGAAAGUGAAGGACUAGUUGCUGGAGAAAUGAUAGGGACUUUUACUCGGUUCCCUAAGUCAAUCACAAAAUCAGUUUGUGUAGACAUUUGUGGCCCAACGAUGGCUUGUACUUGAACAUCCUUUAGCAAGUAUAUGGCUGCACAUACACAAUCAGACUAUAAGGAAUUGUCUGAACAGAAAACCAAAGGGAAAAAAGAAGAAAAGAGAAAAAGAUAUGCUAGCUUAACAGAAGUAAAUCAUGGAGCUGAAUUAAUUUACCUGCAGAUGCUGCUUCAACAUCAUCUUUCUUGGAAUCCCUCAAGUGAGGGACUAUCCUAAUAGCUCUGGGACUAGUGGUGGCAUGGUAAUCUUCAAGAGCUAGUAAGAUAGAUAUGUGCAUUACUUUUGCCACAACUGUUUCCAUAUAAGAACUAUACCCACAUCCACCUUUACAACACUAGUUUCAUCUUCACCUCUUAUUGGAAUUACAUAGUGGCAAAAGCUAAUAAUGGAGACAAGUUGAAUGAAGAGAAUUAGGCAGUAGUAUCUUUGAUUUUGCAUUUGAAAAACUCUGGUAGCAAGUAGUUUGAGAGUUGGGAAAGAAGCAAUUCUGCUUGUGCAAGUAAUUAACCACUUUCUAGAGAUGUGUCUAAAAAUCUCUUAACUGUGUGGCUCUAGAUAUAUGGUUUCAGAAUCUGGGAACUUCAUAUACUUGGACCAGUAAAUACCUUGCAAAACUAUAAUAAGGCAAUGUAGAAUGAAAAGUCAAAGAUAAAGUUUCCAAAGAAUAAUUGAGAGAGGACUUUUCAUACAUUCUUAACUAGUAAGUUCCCUCCUCAAUUUGACCCAAUAAAAAUCUGACAAAACGAACGCAGUGACAAAAACUCAUUUGGUUGACCUUGGAAUGGUGCUUAUUUUACAUGGUUCCUGUUUAUACUUGGUCAUUAGUAACUUGCUUGGACACCAAAUAAUGAAACAAUACCCACCAUUGGAUCGAGUGGCCGAUCUAGGAUUUUCAUUCAUGGGGAUUUGUAAAUAAAAAUGUAAAAAGUAUUAACUUCCUUGGACACUCAAUAAUGAAACAACCACCACCAUUGGCUCUAGUGGCAUGCUGAUUCAGGAUUUUCACUCUGAGAGUUCCGAAAAAUAAAAAUGUAAAAGAUAAUGCAGUCCUUGAGAAUUGAACCUUGGACAUUGGGGUGUAUUUUGAAUUUCCUGAAUUGCAGAGCUAACCUUUUGCAUGUUAUUUAGGGGAUUCACAAUUUAUAUGUACAUCAACAUAGAAAAUAUAUCCUAUAUAUACAUUUUAAUUUUUUGUUGAAGGGGUUUGGGUGAACACUCUCCGGCUCUUGAUUGGCUCAUUGACACUGUUAUUGUUAGUGCAAGAAGAAACUGCUAGGGAAGUUGCCUAUGAUAUAUGUUGAAGCAGAUGGGAUAUAAGAUUCUGAUUUGAUGGGUUCAAUAUUUAGGUUCUUACCAUUGAGCCCAUUACACUUUGAAAUUAUGGGUUCAUGUUCUAUUAUUUAUUAAAAUUUUAGUGAUUUUUCACAUUAUACUUUUAUGAUCCGUGUCGAAAAUGCAAAUCUUAUACUUAAAUUCGCCAUCCGCCCUGUGUGACUGAACAUAUUACUGUUUGUCUUCCAUGUAGCAGUGAUCCUAAAACCUUUCCUUAUUUAUGAUCUGUAACUAUGUUCUUAUCCUCUAGGCUAGUUCUAGCACCUGCAUUAUAAAUUCACUACUACUAGAUCUUUCUUUCUUAUUUAAUUUGGGCUUUGCAGAUUGCUUUUUCUUAUCAAAAAAUUGCACAAAUCUCUCAUGUGGUUAUUCACAUAUAACCCCCAUUAUUUCAUAUUUUAUAUAAGAAUUAUGUAAUCAAAAAAUAAUUUGGCAUCUUAUGUGUUGAUUUUAUUGUUUUUGUUCUAUUAUUGUAACAUAACAAAACUACCUCAAUUGAAUUUCUUGAAAACGGAUGCAUGUAUUGAAUUCUUUCAUGCCACACAUAUAACUUCGUUUAAUUAUAUUCCAAACAUAAGUACAACAACAACAACAUAAGUAGUGAUGAAAAAAACAAAGUGAACAUAAAAUUGCUAGAAAAACAACUAAGAAAAAGUAAGGGUUGAAUCCAUCUAAUGGAAUCCUGGAGGCCACCUCUUGAUGCUAAUAUUAUGGCCAAGAGUGACAAAGAAAUAAUGUAAUCUGAUUUAACUAACCCUAAAGCUAGCUCAUCUCUGUACAAUCUCUUGUAGGGCCCUAUUCAGGUGUGUCACAAUUAUGUUAGCAGCUAUCUGUGUCAUCUUUCUUCAAUCGUGCCUGACAUUGUUUCAUGAACUGGGGUUCCAGUUUCUGUUGUAGAGAACCCUUCAGAAGCAGGGGAUUCUCCUAGGCCAUCGGAGAUUCCGAUUUCUGGGCUUUGCAAAGGAAGGUUGGGCGAUAAUUCAAUAGAAGCAUCACUUUCUGCAAACACUGUAGCCGUUAGGCUUUCAUUCCCUUCAGAUGGCUUUUUUGACAUAGAAUUAGAGUCGUCUCUCUUUAAAUCAAAGACUUUUUGCUAUUGCACAAAGCUUUUUUCCUAUUGAAUCAUCAGUGGCUAAGAUUUCUCUAUUCUGAUAAAGGAAGAUGACGAAGAAUACGAGAAGAGCGGAGCCUGCUGAUACACCAGCUAUGAGGAAAAGGCCCUUAAAACUAUCAAGCGUGAGGCUAGAUGCUGUAGCCAUUCCAUCUGGCUUUGGACAAUCUGUUUCGUUCCCAAACCAUUUCUGAAUUAUGUUAUUCAUAGUCUCUCCCUCUAUCACCUUCAAGACUGCUCUUGAGACGUCAGGUACCAAAGGAGAUCCUUUUGGAAAUGCCUGCAACAAGUUGUGGGAAAAUUAAAGAUUAGAUCAUUGAGUAAACCACUAACCACUCUAAAUAAAUGUCAACACUUUCUGAAACAUCAGUUAAGUACAACAAUCUUACAAAUCCAAAGCCGGCAGCCUUGUAUGUCGGACCAACCAUAAUAUACUUCCUGCAGUAUUUGUUCAGCAAGAGUCUGAGAUAAGGUAGUUCAUCAACAAUUGCACCAACACCUCCAUUUUUACUACCUCUUGAGAGUGCAUCAUUAUACUCUUCCAAUGUGCUAUAACUCCUAAAUUUGGAGCUGUCAAAUUUCAUGCGUGUCAAGACAUCUUUGACAAAGGAACCUUUUUGGUACCCUACAUAUUCUCCAUUCUUGAUGAGAUCAUUGAGGUCUGUUAUAGUAGGUUGAAGCUGUUGCACUGUUAACAUAGAUGUUAAGCUGGCUGUAUAGCUUGAUGUCAGCACCAGAACCACGAAAACCCACACAAUCAGCACAAAUCUUGAUAAGUUACUUGUUAUCUUCUCUUCUGCAACAACCAGUCAUAUAUAGGAUUUGUUGAGAAACAAGGAGAAAUCUUAAACUUUUGGUCUAUAAUUUGAUUUGAGUUAGAGACUUACUAUGAGCAAAAACGAGAGUUGAGAAGGAAAACCAAAAUAUCAUCCCAACUUGCUUGCGUUUGGGUCCUCGAAAAUGUUUGUUUACACGAUGUUCGAGUACCCAAACCACAAAACCAAUGAAGACGAAGAAUGCUCCUGUUGCUAUCCACAGCUCGGCCUUUAAAGGUUUCAAGAAGAUCCAAGCGUUUUUCCUAUCAUCAUUCCUUACAGGCACAACUGCAGAAAUACUCGACUCUGAAAAAGGUAAUGUGAAAUCUACAUACUCAGAUCGGCUUGCUAAAAUGGUAACAUCACCUACAACUGCAUCAUAUUCCUGGUUCAAGCAAACAUUGAUUAUUUCAGUAUUUAUUGUUGGUCGCAAAAGCAGAACAUAGAUAAGGAGUCCAAAAAAGGAGCAUGUAAGUGAGUUAUUCAGCUGAAGAGGUUAAUUUUACCUUAGAAGUGAUCUUGUGAACAAGAUCAUCAUAGUUUUGAGAAGUAGGGCUAUGUGCUAUUGGAAAUGGAAUAAAUUCAUAGGGGACAGCAUAUGGCAAAGAUAGGAUGACUUCUUUGAAGACAUCUGGACCUAAACCAGUUGCAAUUACUGCUUGUGUCUUUGGAUCUCUUUCCACUUUAAUGAAUUGCUCCAGCCCUCCUUUGUCUGGAACUCCAACCCUUAACUUCUUCCCACUUGUGGGUAUUUCCCAGCCUCUCGGAACAAUAGUAGAUUCACCAGGCCAAAUGAUGACCCCUAGUUGCUUAUUAUUAGUUUUAGCUAUUUUACCAUUCAUCUUCAGUUUAUGCAAAAUGCCAUCCUUCUCUGUCCAGAAUCCAACACUUUUCUCUCCUUUCCCAAUUAUAUUCACAAUCUGAUAUGGGGAUGGCUGCAGUUCUCUAUCAACGAUACGGAAAUCACCACUUAGUCUUGGUUUUAGCUCUGCGUUUUGCAUAAAGUCAAUGAGCAGAGAUCCCACUUCUGAGGUUCCAAGUGCGUCUAGGUCUGUUAUGUUCUCUCUAGUGUCUGGUUUCCUUAAUUUUGGGAUAGCAGUAGUGCCCGCUUUCUCUACUGCUUCUGCUAAUAAGGUGAUGCUAUCAUAUGCCCAUAGCCCGAAAACAUUGAGUUCUACUUGGUCCAUGUCUGGAUACUCUUGACGAAAUCUCUUUCUCCAUCUCUUGGUGAACAUGUCAAGCUCAUUUGAUCUUGGAACAUAAGAUUUUACACCCAGAACACCUUGCAUUGAUGACUCAAUUACUGAAGUAUCUACCAGGUCCAGAAGACUCGUUAGCACAUCUGUGAUGAUCCAUGCAUAUCCACUGUUCAUCAUCCCGGUUUCUUUGGCCUUGAGGAAAAGGCGGGAGGCAAGAUGUUCUUGCAAGUGCACAAUGAACACCCUGGUCUGCAUUGUCUUCAACUUGUAUAGCUCCCUGAGGAUUUGAUCAUCAUUGGCUGAAGGAGAAAUACCACUUCUAUAGGAGACUAAAGUAUUGAUUUCCAGCAAGGUAUCAGUCAAAUAUGGAAGUAUCCCGGUUCCAUAGGGGCUUUCCUCAUAGAUUACUACAACCUCCCUCCAAUUAUAGUUUUUAACAAUUGCUGCAAUGGCUUUAGUCUGACUGGAAGAAGGAAGUGCUCCUCUGAUGAAGAAGGGAUUUUCCUUGACUGUAAGUAAAGGACUUGUUGCUGGAGAAAUUAUAGGGACUUUUACUCUGUUCCCUAAGUCGAUCACAAAAUCAGUUUGAGUAGACAUUUGUGGCCCAAAGAUAGCUUGCACUUGGACAUCCUUUAGCAAGUAUAUGGCUGCACAUACACAAUCAGACUUAUAAGUAAUUGUCUGAACAUCUCUUUCAAAAUAGAAAAACUAAAGGGAAAAGUAAUAUCUUAGAGAAAAAGUGAAUCUUUUGAAGCAAAGAGAGAGAGAUAAUGCUAGUUUAACAUAGGUAAAGCUUAGAGCUGAAUUUUACCAGCUGAUGCUGCUUCAACAUCAUCUUUCUUUGAAUCCCUGAUAUGAGGAACUAUCCUUAUGGCACCGCGACUAGUGUUGGCAUGAUAAUCCGCAAGAGCUAGUAAGAUAGAUAUGUGCAUUACUUUUCCUACUUCUGUUUCCAGAUCAAGAAUUAUUCCCACAUCCAUCUUUACAGCACUAGUGUUAUUAUCUUCACCUCUUAUUCCAAUUACAUAGUGGCAAAAGCUAAUGAUGGAAACAAGUUGAAUGAAAAUAAUUAGGAAUCUGCAUCUUGGAUUAUGCAUUUGAAAAACUCUUGUAGAAAGUAAUAUGAGAGUUGGACAAGAAGCAGUUGUGCUUGUGCAAGGUAUAUAACCACCAUUCAGAGAUGUGUCUUAAAGGUAUCUUAACUAUAACUUUCCUAUAAUUUUAAAUAAGACCAAACUGCAGAAAGAAAAGUCCAAAGUUUUCAAAGAAUUACAAAUGGUUUAAAAUAUUACUAGUUUAAUUAUUAAAGAAAGAGGACUUUUCACACUUGUUAGACCACAAGCUAGUAAAGCCUCCUCUUCAGUUUUGACCAAAUCAAUAAAUGUCUAAAUGAACAUAGUGACAAAAUUGAUUGGUACUCAUUCUCCCAAUACCCAAUGAAGUUUUUGUAUUCAUUGGAUGACUAUCUAGAGGCUACUAAAAGGACUUCCCAUAUUUAGGCUAAGUCAUGUUGAAAGUUGAGAGCUAUCUCAGUUACAAAUAAGUAGAAGAGACCAUUGUUUCUAUGACUUGGAUUGGAAAAGGGUAGCUAUGACUAGUAAUCUUUAGUUUACUUACACGGUUUCAGUCUAGAAUUGGUCAGUAGUAUAAAACUUUAUGGUGGUAGAGGCACAACUUGUAGGGCUGUUUCGGUUUAUGGUUAAAAAAACAAAUUGAACCAUAAUCCGAACCAAAUCGAUUAAAAAAUUGAUAUUUGGUUUGGUUUGGUUUUAGAUUUUGAAAAUUGACACUAUUUGGUUUGGUUUGGUUUUAAAACUAUAAAAAUAACCAAACUGAACGUGUAAUUAUAAUAACUCUAGUAUUGCUUAAUUGAAUCCACAGUAACUUUCAUGUGAAUUGUUUAUGUACUAGGUGUCUGUGUUUAUAUAUAUGUCUUCAAAAAAAUUAUUACUUUCAAAUCGAAAAAACAAAAAAAAUCGAACCAACAGUUAUUUUUUUCGUUUGGUUUUAGAAUUUAGAAACCGACUAAAUUGAUCUGGUUUUAAUUUUAACCAAUAAUCAAUCCAAACCGAACCAUGAACACCUCUAGGCACAAAUAUGACUUGGUAUGUGAGGGAUUACUAUAAUACCUAUCCUUUCACUUUUUUUUAAAAAAAAAUCUUCAUCCUCCAUUUUUUUCCCUUCUCUUUUUUUUUUUUAAAAAAACCAUUGGUAAAUUUUUCAAAUCAGUUUUUUUUAACUCAUGAGCUCUAUUCCUUUCCCUUUUAUAUUUUUUUAUAUAAUAAAAUAUAAGAUAAAAUAAAGAAUUUUUUUAAAAAGAAAUGAGAAAAAAAAUGAUGAAGAUGAGGGUGAGGAUAUAAAGGAGCAGGGGCGGAUCUAAGGGUACGGGUGGGGAUGCCAUGGCACCCGGUGAUUUUGGAAAAAUUGUUGUAUAUAUGUAUAUAUGUAUCAGAUGUUAAUAUAUAUUAGCUUUGCCACCCAGUGAAUGAAAUGAUAAAUGGUUCAAUUGGUAAAGGGCAUGAGUGCUACGCUAGCAAUGCAAGUUCGAACCUCACUACUAGCAUUGUUUUUUUUGCUUGGUUUGUGCGUAGGGAAGCUUCUUUUUUUGUUUUGUUUUCUUUUUUGUUUUUUUAUUAAUGUGUGAAGGGCUUUAGUUUUUUUCUUCUUCCAUUCAUUCUUAUUUAUUUACUAUACUUUAUUAAUUUCAAAUUGACUCCUUUUCACCGUAGUUAAUUCUUUUUUUUUUUAACUUUCACUUUCACUAAUUAUUAAUCUCUUGAUAUGAAUGUCGCGUGUUUAUUCUUUAUCAGUUAAUGAAUAUUGAACUAUCAAUAUCACAUAAAUAUUAUUAAGAAUGUAUUUAAAUAGUAGUUUUAAAAAAAUAUAAGGUUUAAAAAUGAUGAAUAUUAUUUCUAGAGUUCUUUCAAUUUAAAGGUUCUUUCGAUCCUCACCGACAUUCUUGCUAAUUAGUAAGAUGACUAGAUUGAAACUACAAUUUUAUUCUCUCUACAAUAUAUCUGCAACAACAAAUAAAGUCAAUGGAAUAUAAAUAUAUUAAGUUAACACUAUAAGAUGAUUUAUACAAGCUCAAAUUUUAAUUUGAAAAAAAAAAUCAUUUUUCCUCAAAGUCUAAGUGAAUGAGGCCUUUAAUUCCUAAAAAAAUGAAUUGUUUAGUUAUCUCUCAUCACAGAAUAUCUAAAAGAAAAUAUUACUAACAUGCAUGUUUGAUCAAUUUGUUUAUAAAAAUCGAAAAAGAUAAUAACCCGAAUUGGAACCCAAAUUAAAGCAACCGACCCGUUUAUCUUACUUGAACGAUGUAGCACCCAGGACCUCCAAAUCCUAGAUCCGCCUUUGUAAAGGAGAGAAGAAAGAUAGAACAUAAGAAAGGUAGGGUCCCAUAAUUUCUUAAUCAAAAAGUAAUUCCUUACCUACCAAGUCAUAUUUAUGCCUCUACCACCAUAAAAUUUUUCGUAUUAACUUGCUUGCAAGUUGCAAAACCAAACAAAGUAAACAUACCCAACAUGGAGAUUGAAUCUUGGAAUGAGGAUGGUUGGGUAUAUAUGUAGGUGUCAAUGUCAUUGUCUCAAUAUAUAUAUAUAUAUAUAUAUUACGUGGCACCCUUUUUUUUUAGUUUGUUUUAAAAAACAAUGCCAUCUUACUAUAAUUAGAAACAACGGAAAAGACUCAAAUAUGCUAUUGAAAUUUGAGAAAUAAUGCCGCUUUAUACUAAUAUAGUCCCGAGUUGGUAAUUAGAGUUAGAAGCUUCACAGCUUCCUCCACUCACCUCCACGGGCGAAUAUAGUCUACUAGACUAGCCAAGAAAGAGUGACGUAGACUAUAUUCUAGGUCAUUCGGAAGGGCUCCGUAUAGUUUUGGGGUGUAACGUUGUGGUUGUUCCCUCUCCUUUCAGUCGAGUGACUUCGUGCCUAUCCUUACCGAGAAAAAGGAGUUCCAGAGGCAUCUACCUAUCCUUACCGAGAAAAAAGAGUUCUAGAGGCAUCUUCCAUUCAUAUCUAUUUUGAUUUUUCUGCAACAUAUUUUGAUCUGCCUCUUCUUCGAUCUGGAAUUCCCAGCAAAUCCUUGACUCCUUGAAUACAAUGAAAUUUCACACCUGGCGAAUCUUUCAUCAUGAGGCGAUUAAGAAAGUCGUGGGCCUCGUAGUACCCGCAUACGACAACUCUGUGGAGCUUUUCGGGUCGAAAACUUGUUCGACGUUAGAACCGAUCUCAAAACCCUAAUAUCACCGUCUUCAGAGAAAGGACUUUCUCUAUAUCUAUAUUUAUGCAACUAGUUCUUUCACUUGCUUCCAAAUCCAUCCAUCUUACUUACUCAAAAGCUUUGAAUAUUCUACUAUAAAUCUUGCUUCUAGCUUUGGGCACCUCUGACAUAAACAAAAAUAACGUAUAUACAAGGCUAGCCCUUUCUCUCAAGCGUCUUGGUAUUGGAUCCGCUCUUCUGUUAAUAUGUACAUGAAUUAGAUUCUAUUCGAAUUCUUUAUUCUUAAGAGAAUCCCCAACCCGAACCAUUCUUAAGACCACCAAGCUCUCUCGAAUAAAUUCUACUCUUUCUGCUUUCGAGCUACACCGGGGGUAAAAUCUUUUCCCCACUAAGACGUGCAUCUUUAUGGCUAUAUCGUCCUGAAGACGGAUGCGACGGGAAGAAGUGGCAUUUGGAAGUGUUGCUGACUUAACAUUUAGGUUUCGGCAUAACAAAGCUUGCACUGUCUUUUCGCACUUAGGCGCACAUCGUGCCAUUGGUAAUGAUUCUACUACGGUGCCACAAAUUCGCAAGCUGAUCCUAAGUAAUCGUUGUUGUUCAUUGGAUUCCGGAGGAACUACUUCGUUAGGAUUGGGGAAUUGUUGCGAUUCUUCCUGAAUAGCCUGGAUUCUCCCGUCGAGAGUCACUUUGAAAGUAUUACCUAAACUCUUCCGACUGAAUAUGAUAAAGCCUAUAAAACAUAGAGCUACUUGUUGACACCCAAUUUUGACCUUUCACGGUAUAAAUUAAUCAAUUUGAGCUUCUUCAAUUUCAAACGAGUUAAAAUAAUUAGUUUUACAAAGUUUUAAGAAAAAAUAUAUAGUUUGCAAGUUAUUUUAAAUAAUUUCGUCACUUUUUAUAGUUUUUAGAUAAUAUAUAUGUUUUACAUAAUUAUGUAUAUAAUUAUUAUAUUUUAUGAUUAUUCAAAAAUCAUCUCAAAAAGAUUUUGUUUUAAUUAAAUAUUUUGGUUAAUUAGUUUAGUUAUAUAAUAGUUUAUAUAUUUUAAUUAAUUAGUUGUAUAUAAGUUAAUUAUUUUAAUUCGUUAGGAUUAAGAAGCUCGUUAUUUGAUUAAUAUUAAUUUGUUCUAUUUAUAUUCUAGUCAAAUUAACUAAAUUAAUUCAACUUUGGUUAGAUCUUUAAUUUUGAAUGGCUAUGAUCGAAAUCUUUUGGCUCUUUCCUCAAUUCCAAAUUUAGCCAUUUAGCUUUUCCUAAACCCCUUUAUUUCAGCCAAGCUUUAAACCAAUUUUUUGGGCCUCCUUCUUACAAUUCUCAAAGGCCCAUUCCAUUCUCAAUUUCUCAAAUUCCCAGCCCAAAACAGACCCAUACAUCAGCAGCAGCAUACAAAUCCAGAAACUCAAUUCUCCACAACAAUUCCCAACGAUACAACAGCAACACAGCGACCCGACCCGACCCGACCCGACCCAACCCGACCCGACCCGACCCAGACCUUCGUAACUUGUCUUCUUCGCGACCAAAUCGCUGAAAUCCAGCGAAAUCCAGACGAGAACAGUCGCUCAGACCGGAAAUCCCCCAGCAAAUCGCGUCCUCCUCUUCCCUUCUCCCUUCUUGUCCGUUGAAAAUUGUUACAAUGGACAACUUUAUUUCUUAUCUCUCCAAGAUUUUAAAUUUCGAAUUCAAAUUUUCAAUCCGUUUUCCCCCUUUAAAUAUGCCCUUUCACCCCUUUAUAAAUGGCCUCAUGAGUUUUCAUUGAAGGAGGAGAAGAAAAAUUAAGAGAAUAUAGUUUACAGAGACACAAAAAAUACCGACAGAACAGCCUGAAAGAAAGUAAAAAAAAAAAAACAAAGAGUUUGAGUCUCUUCUAUUCGAAUUCGAAGUUGUUUGUUUUUCGGAGCUCAUCUAAAUCUGCUCACAGUGGUGGAAGUUCUUGGUGGUUAAGCUCGUCGUCCUAGUCUCGCUGCUCCGAAGAAGAUAACAUCCCUUUUUCGAUUUUAGAUUUCUUUGUCGUGGGCCAAGAAUCGCUUAGUUCAUGGCUUGAUAUUGUGAUCUUGUUGCUCAACUGAUGUGACGACUGUUCAUUUCUUGAUCAUUGGAAAUCAUUUAGAUGUCAGAAUUCUGAGAGUGUUGACGACAAGUCGGUGGUAUGACUUGUUUGAUAUUCAUGUUGUUUGCUUGAUCUUUGUUUCCUUGAAGUCUUAAUGAUUCCGUUCAGUCUCGAGUUUGUUUCUCCUUGGUCCAAGUCCUCUUAGUUCACUGUUAAGCUUGUUUGGUUGGCUGUUGAAAAUGAUUAUUCAGAGACCAUUUCUCUAUAGGUGAUUUUGGUUUUCAUAAUCUGAUGUAUGGGCUAUUUCUUCUUCUCAUUACUCUAGCUAGUAAAAUUGUAUGAGCUACAUCAUCCCUUUUUCAUGGUGUUUGCUCCAUCUAUAUUCGACUAAGUAACAUAGUUCAUAUGUUAGUUGUUUGCAGCUUUAAAAUCUUAUUUGUAAUAGUGUUAGUCGUAGUCUUUGUUUCCUUGCACGUUGAGUUGAUUUAUCUCGAGUUUGACAUAGUUUACAUCAAGUUAAGAUAGAGUAGAUAAAUUGAUCAUUUAAGCUAGCUGUCUUAGGGCUAAUUUUAGACUUAAUGGAAUAUAGUUUUGGGUUAGUGUCAAUGGCAACAUUAUCUUUUAUGUUUUCUUGUUUGGAUGUUUGCUAGUUUCCAGUAGAUUGCUUUAUUUUCUUUUAUGAUUGUUUAAAUAAUACUUGAUGACAAACAAUCUUUUAAUAGUUUACAAGAUGCAUGUAGAUCAUAUGUUUAGAACUUCUAAUUACUCUUCGUGUAUCUUAAGUUGAAUGAAAAAUGGAAAUUCAGGCGCCAUCUGUUCUUAUUUUCUUUCACUGUGAAGAAAUUAUUUGUUUUAGUUUUGUCCAAAAUUUAGAGAACUUUGUUUUCCUUCUCCUUUGUUGAAUAUGUCGGAUUAUUGUUUGUUGUGGUUUCUAUAGCUUGUUUUAUUUUGACUCACUACUAUGAGUAUUAGUUUUUAUUUUUUGUUUAUGUCUCAUGUGAACUUGUCGUGGAGUCCAAUUUGGACUCAAAUCUAUCUUCUUUGCAUAUCGUUGAGUUAUUUUGAGUCAGCCGGGUGAUCCAAAUAGGGCUGUACAAGGCUAGAAAACUGAAACAAGUCUUGGAAAGCUGAAAUAGGGCUCUUGGAAGCCAAAAACGCAGGUGGAAAAAGGCGAAUAUACAAUGAUAUACAACAGAUAUACAUCGAUAUACAGGUCAAGAAAUGAAAAAUACAGGGCUAAGGAGAAAUAAAGCUGUUCGGAAGCAAGAAAUACAUGAAAAGAACUGAUAUACAUGCUCAUAUACAUUGAUAUACAGUCGAUGUAUACAAAAAAAGGAAAUUUGGUGAAAGGCCAAAUUUGCAGCGAAAUUGGCCCAAGAAGGGGCCCAAUUUCAUUAUCUCGUUUACACUUCUAAUCGUUUGAUUAUGUGUUGACUAAUCUUAUUUAACUCUAACUUUAAAUAACUUGAUUAGAUUCCCCAAAAAGACGAGUCAUUUUCGUUGUGUUGGUUUAUUUUAAUACAUUUCACCUGUUGUGUUCACUUAUUUUAUUAAUCAAUUAUUGAUCAAAUUUUAUAUUUUAAUUAAGUUAAAUCUUUGUUCUUAAAAAAGAUAUGUUUUAAGGCCGCUUCACUUGAUAACAUUUUAUUUUAAAGUGGCUUUAAGUUAAAGUAUUUUUUCUCAAAUGAACUAAAAAAGAAAAAAUAGUUCCCUCUCUACUUAGUCAUUUACUCAAAAAGGUUAGUCAAAACUUUUAUUCUUCAAUUAAUUUAAAAUGGUUCCAUACUUAAAUUAACAAAUUUAGUUUAAAUUAUUAUUUUAAAAGUGUAUCAAAUAAUUUCUAAUUAAUCUAGUUUUGUUAGAAUUCUAUCCAUUCGCACCUUAAUUCAAAUGUUUCAUUUUAGGUCCAUUUCUCUAAAAAUGAAAUAAUAUAAAAUGUGUCAUUUAUUUAAUUAUUUUUCUCGAAGUUAACCAAAUGUUGUACAGUAUUAUUCUCAUGUUAAAUCAUUUUUCUAAAGAUAGUCAAUAUAUAUUUUUUAGUCAAAUCGCAGGUCAACCGCAUGUUAGCGGACACUUCGAAUGCUUAAAUCCUUCUUGAAGUGUAAAUUGAACCCCGAACCAUCUUUGGUAUUUUCAAAUGAUUUUUUCUGUUUAAAUCUUUGAAAAUUAUAAGUUUUCUUAAUUUCUUAAAAAAAUUAAGUGGCGACUAUUUUCUAAGUAUUUUCUCAAAUUGAAUAUUUAGAACAUUUCAAAAAGUGAUUUUUCUAAAGGUUAGUUAAAUUACGACACAACACUACUAUCAUUUCUUCAUUAUAAAUUGAGAUCCGAAUAAAGACUCAUCUUAUUUCAUAUCAUAUGUGUCAGAAGCAUCAAAUGAUGUUUUAUGAGGUGGGGGAAUCCUAAUCCAAUGCCCUAAGCUUGCGGUGACAGAAUGCUGUUAUGUCCCUGGAGAUUCAAGAGACUGAUUUGGGGUUCUUGCAGAGUGGAACCAUGCAGUACCAGACACGAGAUAGAUCUUCCAAAGAACAAGGCCUUUUUCGAAUAAGCCAAUUCAUUUUGGACCCUGCAGAUCCACUCUUUUUCCUAUUCAAAGAUUAGCCUCCUGGCUCUGUGUUUUCACUUUUGCUGCAAUAGAGGAGAUUUCCAUUGGACUAGUUAAAAGACUUAGAUAACACACCGGGUUUACAUAAGAAAAAGUUCACGUAGAGAAAAGAGAUUAGACUAGUCAUUGCACUAGUAGCGUCUACGAGCCUCCCGCUUCGGUACCAUCUCCUUUUUUACCAGCCGAGCUGCCCUGUCAACCCUUUGCGGCACUUGCUUCCUAGAUAGAACUCACACAACGCAAACAUCAUAAAUGAGAACUAAGCAUAGUCUGACUCCCUAGGUCUUAUCUAUGUCAUCCGUUAAAAAUUUGGUUCAUCUAUAUCAUUUUCGUUUGAGAAAAAGACUCCUCCAUACCAUAGAGAAAAAGAAAAAGUGAAUCUUUUGAAGCAAAGAGAGAGAUAAUCCUAGUUUAUCGUAGGUAAAGCUUAGAGCUGAGUUUUACCAGCUGAUGCUGCUUCAACAUCAUCUUCUUUGAAUCCCUGAUAUGAGGGAACUAUCCUUAUGGCACCGCGACUAGUGUUGGCAUGAUAGUCUGCAAGAGCUAGUAAGAUUGAUAUGUGCAUUACUUUUCCCACAUCUGUUUCCAGAUCAAGAAUUAUACCCACAUCCACCUUUACAGCACUAGUGUUAUUAUCUUCACCUCUUAUUCCAAUUACAUAGUGGCAAAAACCAAUGAUGGAAACAAGUUGAAUGAAGAUAAUUAGGGAUUUGCAUCUUGGAUUAUGCAUUUGAAAAAACUCUGGUAGCAAGUAGUCUGAGAGAUGGGCAACAAGCAGUUGUGCUUGUGCAAGAUAACCACACAUUCAGAAUGAUAAAUUUUCCUAUAAUUAAUAAGACCAAACUCCAUAAAUGCAGAAACAAAAGUCAAAGAACAAAUGGUUGAAAAUCAAGUAUUCGUUUGAUUAUUGAAAGUGAGGACUUUUCACAUAUGCUACAACCGCACAGCUAGUAAGCAUACUACCCCUCAGGUUUGACUAAAUAAAAAAUUGGCAAAAUUGAUUGGUACUCAUUCCCCCAACUCAUUCUCCCAAUUAUAACCUAUGACGUUUGUGUAUUUAACUAUCUAGAGUCUAUUAAAAGGACUUCCCACAUUUUGGCUAAGUCAUGCAUGGUGAAAGUUGAGAGCUAGCUCAGUUCCAAAUAAGUAGAAGAGACCAUUGUUUCUAUGACUUGGAAAAGAGUAGCUAUGACUAGUAAUCUUUAGCUUACACGGUUUCAGUUUAGAAUUGGUUAGUAGUAUUAACUUGCUUGCAAUUUGCAAAACCAAACAAAGCAAACACACCCAACAUGGAAAUGGAAUCUUGGAAUGAGGAUGGCUGGGUAAUUAGGUGUUUGGGGUUCUAGAUUUUAGAACAGAACAAUAACUUUAAAUAUAACCGACAAAUUAACGAACGACAAUAUAUAAGAAACGAGAUUUUUUUUUAUUUUAAGAUGAGUGGAACUUCUUCUUUUUUUUUUUGCCUUUUCUAAUUGUUAAUCUUAUAUAUUUUUUAAUUUAUUUGUGAAAUUUGCAUAAAUAGCAAUUUUUUUAAUUUAAGAUGAGUGGAACUUCUCUUUUUUUUUUUUUUUUUGCUCUUUCUAAUUGUUGAUCUUAUAUUUUUUUAAUUAAUUUUUAUUUUUUAUUUGUUGAGGUUUGUCAUUAAAUUAGCCGAAGAGGUUUCAAACCCACAACUCUAGCAUGGGAAAGCAUUCCCAAGACCCCUUCCUUACCACUAAGCCAUCAAUUAGUUUUGUUAAGGGGUUCACAAGUUAAAAUACAUAUAUAUUUAUUUAAUUUUUUAAUACAAGUAUAGAGUUUACAUAAAAGCUAUUGGGUUCGCCCGAACCCCCACUAAGAUAGGCAUAAAAGUAUCAAUACAUUUAUUUUUAUGAAGGUAAAUACCAUUAGAUGUAACUUUUCAAGAAUGAAAACAUGUAUUAAAACAAAACUGAAAAGAGUAAUAACAUAAGUGAGAAAAAAGACAAGAAAUGUAGAGAGACAAGAGAGAGUUUUCUUAUUCUUCCAAGUAUAUUCAAGUGUUUUCCAAAUCUUCAAGUGCAUAAUACAAUCUCAAGACCUCUAUUUAUAUUGUUAUAAAAAGACAUACAAAGAGAUAACAAUAAACAUGAUAUUAAUUUUUGAGAAUGUAGGGAAGAUAAAGCGGUGUAGAAGAUAAAUGAGGAGAUGGUGAAGGUGUGAGUAUUAUUACAUAUAAUGGUGAAAUUACACCUUGAAGUUAUGGACAUCCACAUUAAUAUAAUAUAUUUACAACAAAACAUUAAUUAUAUAUAAAUAAUAACUAAAUUAAAAAUGAUGAGAAAAACAUAAAAAUGCCCCAAAAAAGGAGAAAAAAAUUAAAUAUGAAUAGAGGUCAUAGAGAGGUGUCACGUCACCUUGUUUAUAUCUAGUGUGUAUAAGAAAAUAUUAAAUAUAUUUUUAAAUAAUUAAUGUCAUUAUUUGAUAAAUAUUCUAAUAAAUAAUAUAAUAAAAGGGAGAAAUACAAAUUAAGUUACAAUUCUGAUAUUAUCUAUUCAGAAAAAUUGUUAAAAAAGUUUCAUGCUACAAUUUCAAUUUAAAAUUGCUGAUAAAAAGAUGAAAAUAUAAAAUUGAUAUGAAAAGAUUUAGUUAAAUAAACAAUCUAAUUAUCAUAGUUUCAUACUAAAUUUCAUGAUUUUAUAGCAAUAUUUAUUGAUUCAACCAUUAAUAUUAAAUCUACUUUAUCGUAAAUUAUGUGACUUUUUUUUUUUUUUGUAUAAAUGACUAUAUAAUAGAAAUAAGAAAAUCAAAAUAUAUUUGUGCUAAAUCAUCGUGAGGGAAAAAAAUAUUUGAAUUAUAUUCGAACAUAGUUAUACACAAAAUUCAAAAGUUAGAGAUUUUUUUUUGAAUAUCCGAUGCUCGUAGUGACACUCAUUUGAUACAUAUUUGUGUUGCAUAAGAUCCAUUAAUAUUUUAAUUUAUAUUUAAACUUUCAUUCUUAUAGUGUGCAUUGUGAAAAGAGAUACUUAAGUUGCUACAGUGAAACAUUACCGUUGAGGUUAUACUUUUACAAUAAAAAUAAAAUAAAAUUAAACACAUAAUUUUGUCGUAUUAAGAUUAUCAGAUAGUGAUGAAGAAAUAAAAAUUUUAAAAAAAUAUGAGUAUGUAGUGUUCAAGAUGUAGAAAAAGUGUCAAGAGUUAGAUAAUUCUUUUCAAUUUAUAUAUAUAUGUGUGGGACAAUAAAAGUUUAACAACAUCAGAAUAAUUAUUCCUAUUAUUACAAUAUUAUUGUUGUAAUUAUUAUAAAUAAAUUAGAGCAAUAACUCUCCAAAAGAUAACUCCAUUUUUUGAUGUGGGAAAAUAAAAUAAUUUUUUUUUACUUUCAAUAAUAAUAAAUUUAAACACAAAUUUGUUAUUAAGAGAAUUAAAUGAUGAAAUUUAAAAAAAUUCUUGAUAAAUAAGAGAGUUGAAUAAAUUAUUUUUUAGUAUAUAUAUAUACACACACUUGAUUAUUUUUAGGGAAAAGGGUAAAAAAUAUCCUCAAUUUUAGUUUAUUAGUUAAAUAUACCCCUAUCGUUGAAACAAAGUUAUUCAUACCAUCACCGUUACUAAUUUCACCAUUUAUACCCCUCAAUUGACGGAAAUUCCUAAAUCAAACAAAAUUGACCCGAUUUCUUAAAAAAUGACUCAUUUUCCAUUUUAAACCUAUGUCCGACCCAUCUAUCUAUCUUAAACCCAAAAGAAUUUAACCCAUUUUCUAUACCCAUUCAAAAAAGAAAAUUCAUUUGGAGCUACUUGGGAGAAUGAAUUAUAGGUGACAAAAAAGUGUUGAAAUGUAAAAAGAGUGACUCUAGUUUUAAUUAUUAAGUGUACGUGACAAAUUUUUAAUUAAUUUUUAAAAAUAAUUAUAUAGGUCCUCAAGUUUUUAUUUUUACACUUUCACCCAAAUUUAAGUAAACCCCUAAUUUCUAAAAUAGGAAAACCCCCAAAUCAGUUCUUUUUUGUUCUCUCCCAACGUCCCGCUCUUUUCACAUUUUUUUUGCUUCUAAUCUUCAUCACUAGCGCUUCUUCUUCCUCUUAUUGUAGCUUAUUGUAGAUUUCUUAUUUGCAGAAUUUGAGAAGGGAAAAUCUCAAAUUUUAAUUCAACACGUGAUUUGAAAAGGUCUAAACUUUAGAAAUCACUUCUUAACUGAUAAUUUUCAAUCAUUUUAACAAGUUAAUAGUAUUGUUUGUGUGCAUUAUUCAUUUAAAAAUUUGAUUUUUAUAUUAUUGUUCUUGUCACUGAUGUAUAAUAAUUUUCAGCAACUGAUAUGACUAUUUCAGUAAUUUACAACAAUUGCUGAAUGUUUUUGUUGAAUAAAUUGCCGCAACUGCUAUAUAUAUUUCAGCAGUUGCUGAAUAACUUACAACAAUUGUGAUAUUUUAAUAUAAUAUUUUUAUGAUCAAUUUUUAGUUCUAAGUUACAAUAUUUUCAAGUAUCUUCAACAUCAUUAAUGGGAGAUAGAAUAGUAGUACCGAUUGAUUGUAAUGGUGAAUGGGUUGAGUCUAACAAUCGUUAUAUUUAGCGUUGGAAGAGUAAAGAAUUGUCCGCGACAAUUGCGAUGAGUGUGCAUCGAGAUAUUGCAUAUGAUGAUUUUGCGAAUAAAAUCAUUACUUGUUGUAAAAUUGUGAGUUGGAAGAUAUUGUGAUCACUUACCUGCAUAGUUGUGGUGAAAAGCAGAAGAUUAAGGAUCUACAUGGUUGAAAGAUUGGUGGAGAAUCAUAAUUUAUGUGAUGACCAACAAGUGUUGAACGAUGAAUGUGGUAGGAUGAAUAUGAAUAUUCCAAAUGAAGAGUGUGAAGGUCAACAUAUUCUUUCUCAUGAAGUUCGGAAUGGAUUGCCCAUUAUUGGUGAAGUUGUUGAUAGGCAAGUACUAUGAACUCAUAAAUUUACUUAUUUCUAAAAGUUCAUCCUCUUUGUACACUUAAUUAAUUUUUGCUUUAGCUGAUAAUUAAUUAACUUAAUGUAGUCAUGCUCAAGAUGAUGGAACCGAUUUUUACAAAGAUAUGUCAUUUAAGAAUAAACAAGAAUUAGAUAUUGCAUUGAAAAUUGCUUGUGUCAAAAAAGAUUUUAGAUUGAAGAAGGUAAUUAAUUCGUGUUCAGUGUAUUGUGUCAAAUGUGAGCAUCUUGAGUGCAAGUGGUGGCUAAGAGCGGUGAAAGUUGAAAAUUCUGAUAGAUUUUUAUAUUAAAAAAGUAUGAAAAAAUGCAUACAUGUGGCUUGGAACAUCUUACGAGUCAUAAUCCACAUGCCACAACAAAAGUCAUUGGAGCAUACUUCAAAGAUAGAUAUCCCAAAGGUAAAGGUCCAUUUACAAAAGAUUUGAAAAACUCUAUCUGUAUUGAAUUGGGAUGCAAGGUUAGUUAUUGGAAAGUUGGAUGGGUAGCGAGAUUGCAAAGUCUUUGGUAAGAGGGACACAUGAACAUGGAUAUGGAGUGAUUGAUGCGUAUAAUCAUAUGCUUAGGACAUCUAAUCCGGGAAGUAAAACGGCGUUGAAGAUUGAUGAAAAUGGCAGGUUCAAGUUACUUUUUGUGACAUAUGGAGCUUCGAUUCUUGGUUUCGCACAAAUGAGAAAAGUCAUAGCUGUUGAUGGGACAUUUUUGAGAAGUAAAUAUGGUGGUGUGUUGUUGUCUGUUGUUACAUAGGAUGCGGAGAAUCAUAUUUUUCCGGUGGCAUUUUGCGUAGUAGACUCUGAAUGUGAUGCUUCCUACCGAUACUUUUUCGAGCAAUUGAGAAGUUUUGUACUUGAUAUUCCUGAAUUGUGCAUAAUCUCUGAUAGACAUCAAAGUAUUAGAAAGAUGGUUUCAAUUGUAUUUCCUUCAGCUCAUUAUAGUUGUUGCAUGAGGCACUUAGGAGAAAAUAUUCGAAAUAAUUUUCACAAUGCGAGUGUUGUCUACCACUUUUAUAAGGCGGCAAAAACAUACAAUAUUGAUGUGUUCAGUGAUCAUUUUAAUCGGAUAAAAGAUUUGGUUCCACAGGCUACCACACAUCUUGAACGCGUUGGAUUUCACCGAUGGAGCAGGGCAUUCUUUCCCGGAAAUAGGUAAAUUUUAUUAUAGUUAUUAUUGAUAGUUGGUAUAACUACUGCAGCUUUUUUAUAGCUACUGCUGCACUUAUUUCAGCACCUGCUGAGAAAUAUGCAACAAUUGCUAUAAAAACCAUACAACAGUUAUAAACACAUACUUAUAAUAUAUUAUUGGACACUUAUAUGUUACAGGUACAAUAUUAUGACGACAAAUAUUGCUGAGUCGGUUAACUCAAUGUUUCUUGAUGAAAGAAAAUAUCUCAUUACUGGUCUAUUUGAUGCAAUAAACAGGCGAUUUGCAGAAAAAUUUCAUGAGAGGCGUAUGAAAUUCAUUAAUGCACCAACCAUCUUCGUCCCUUUGAUAGAAAAAGACAUUGCAAAAGAUAUUAAUCUGGAGAACAAGCUAUUGGUCCAUCAAACUGCCAACUACAAGUAUAUUGUCACCAGUCAUAAUGAAGUUGCAACAGUUGAUUUGCUAGCCAAAUCUUGUACUUGUAAAGUCUUUGACAUUGACAAAGUACCUUGUCCACAUGCUAUGGCAGCGCUUCGAUGUCAAUAUGGUGAUGACUAUGGGAGACACAUUUAUGAGUACUCCUCUUUGUAUUACAAAGCAGAGGUAUACCUUAUUGCAUAUGUGGAGGAAAUUAAACCAGUUCCAUCUGAAGAAACUUGAAAAGUUCCUAUUGAGAUUUUAGAGAGAAAAAUAUCUUCUCCAUUUGUUGAGCCAGGCAAGGUUGGAAGAAGGUCCUCAAAAAGACAAAAAGGAAUCGGGGAAUCAUUUUCAACAAAGAAAAAUAAAUGUUCUUUAUGCAAAAGAAUUGGUCACAAGAGAACUAAAUGCUCCGAGCGAAAUGUUGCAUAAAAAUACAUUUGUUCUUCUUGUUUUUUGUGAACAUAUUUGAUCUUAUCUUUUUUGGUACUAAUUGUUGUUUUUGUUGUUAUUAUUUGUGAACACAUUUGAUCUUAUCUAUUUUGGUACUAAUUGUUGUUAUUUUGAUUGUAAGAGCAUAUUUUAUUUUAUUGUUAUUCUUAUUAUUACUUUAUUACUUGUUGUAGAGAAUUUUAGCAAUUGCUAUAUAAAGUACAACAACUUACUUACUUUUCAGUAGAAAAAUUCAGCAAUUGCUAUAAAAAGUACAAUAAUUUUCAUGCUUGUUGUAGAAAUUUAAACAAUUGUUGUGCAUAUUCAAAUAACUAUCUCAUUAUACAAGAUCACUAUCUAAUAUAAAUUUUAUUUUAAAAUUAAAUCAACACUACUUUAUUUAUCAUUAAAUAUGAGUGUUACAAACAAUAAACAAUCAAUUAGCCAAUUAAUUUGCUUACUUGUUAAAGAAAAUUUUAGCAAUUGUUAUAUAAAGGACAACAACUUUCUUACUUGCUGUAGAAAAGUUCAGCAAUUGCUAUGAAAAGUACAAUAAUUUUCGUGCUUGUUGUAGAAAUUAAAGCAAUUGUUGUAAAAUAACACAACAACUCGUUUAAUUGCUGUAGAGAAUUGUAGCAAUUGCUAUGAAAAGUACAACAAUUUGCUUAAUUGNNNNNNNNNNNNNNNNNNNNNNNNNNNNNNNNNNNNNNNNNNNNNNNNNNNNNNNNNNNNNNNNNNNNNNNNNNNNNNNNNNNNNNNNNNNNNNNNNNNNNNNNNNNNNNNNNNNNNNNNNNNNNNNNNNNNNNNNNNNNNNNNNNNNNNNNNNNNNNNNNNNNNNNNNNNNNNNNNNNNNNNNNNNNNNNNNNNNNNNNNNNNNNNNNNNNNNNNNNNNNNNNNNNNNNNNNNNNNNNNNNNNNNNNNNNNNNNNNNNNNNNNNNNNNNNNNNNNNNNNNNNNNNNNNNNNNNNNNNNNNNNNNNNNNNNNNNNNNNNNNNNNNNNNNNNNNNNNNNNNNNNNNNNNNNNNNNNNNNNNNNNNNNNNNNNNNNNNNNNNNNNNNNNNNNNNNNNNNNNNNNNNNNNNNNNNNNNNNNNNNNNNNNNNNNNNNNNNNNNNNNNNNNNNNNNNNNNNNNNNNNNNNNNNNNNNNNNNNNNNNNNNNNNNNNNNNNNNNNNNNNNNNNNNNNNNNNNNNNNNNNNNNNNNNNNNNNNNNNNNNNNNNNNNNNNNNNNNNNNNNNNNNNNNNNNNNNNNNNNNNNNNNNNNNNNNNNNNNNNNNNNNNNNNNNNNNNNNNNNNNNNNNNNNNUUGUAGAAAUUUAAGCAAUUGUUGUAAAACAAUAUAACAUUUCGUUUAAUUGCUAUAGAGAAUUGUAGCAAUUGCUAUGAAAAGUACAACAAUUUGCUUAUUUGCUGUAGAGAAUUUCAGCAAUUGCUGUAAAAAAUACAACAACUUAUUUAAUUGCUGUAGAGAAUUUCAACAAUUGGAUGAGUCAAAUCCUCACCUUCAACUAGUUCACUAACAACAUCACAAUUCUUUUUUUCGAUUAAAAUAUCGAUUCUUCAAUUUCAAAAUACCAUAUUCACUAAUGUACAACAAAAGUGAAUUAAAAGUGUAGCANNNNNNNNNNNNNNNNNNNNNNNNNNNNNNNNNNNNNNNNNNNNNNNNNNNNNNNNNNNNNNNNNNNNNNNNNNNNNNNNNNNNNNNNNNNNNNNNNNNNNNNNNNNNNNNNNNNNNNNNNNNNNNNNNNNNNNNNNNNNNNNNNNNNNNNNNNNNNNNNNNNNNNNNNNNNNNNNNNNNNNNNNNNNNNNNNNNNNNNNNNNNNNNNNNNNNNNNNNNNNNNNNNNNNNNNNNNNNNNNNNNNNNNNNNNNNNNNNNNNNNNNNNNNNNNNNNNNNNNNNNNNNNNNNNNNNNNNNNNNNNNNNNNNNNNNNNNNNNNNNNNNNNNNNNNNNNNNNNNNNNNNNNNNNNNNNNNNNNNNNNNNNNNNNNNNNNNNNNNNNNNNNNNNNNNNNNNNNNNNNNNNNNNNNNNNNNNNNNNNNNNNNNNNNNNNNNNNNNNNNNNNNNNNNNNNNNNNNNNNNNNNNNNNNNNNNNNNNNNNNNNNNNNNNNNNNNNNNNNNNNNNNNNNNNNNNNNNNNNNNNNNNNNNNNNNNNNNNNNNNNNNNNNNNNNNNNNNNNNNNNNNNNNNNNNNNNNNNNNNNNNNNNNNNNNNNNNNNNNNNNNNNNNNNNNNNNNNNNNNNNNNNNNNNNNNNNNNNNNNNNNNNNNNNNNNNNNNNNNNNNNNNNNNNNNNNNNNNNNNNNNNNNNNNNNNNNNNNNNNNNNNNNNNNNNNNNNNNNNNNNNNNNNNNNNNNNNNNNNNNNNNNNNNNNNNNNNNNNNNNNNNNNNNNNNNNNNNNNNNNNNNNNNNNNNNNNNNNNNNNNNNNNNNNNNNNNNNNNNNNNNNNNNNNNNNNNNNNNNNNNNNNNNNNNNNNNNNNNNNNNNNNNNNNNNNNNNNNNNNNNNNNNNNNNNNNNNNNNNNNNNNNNNNNNNNNNNNNNNNNNNNNNNNNNNNNNNNNNNNNNNNNNNNNNNNNNNNNNNNNNNNNNNNNNNNNNNNNNNNNNNNNNNNNNNNNNNNNNNNNNNNNNNNNNNNNNNNNNNNNNNNNNNNNNNNNNNNNNNNNNNNNNNNNNNNNNNNNNNNNNNNNNNNNNNNNNNNNNNNNNNNNNNNNNNNNNNNNNNNNNNNNNNNNNNNNNNNNNNNNNNNNNNNNNNNNNNNNNNNNNNNNNNNNNNNNNNNNNNNNNNNNNNNNNNNNNNNNNNNNNNNNNNNNNNNNNNNNNNNNNNNNNNNNNNNNNNNNNNNNNNNNNNNNNNNNNNNNNNNNNNNNNNNNNNNNNNNNNNNNNNNNNNNNNNNNNNNNNNNNNNNNNNNNNNNNNNNNNNNNNNNNNNNNNNNNNNNNNNNNNNNNNNNNNNNNNNNNNNNNNNNNNNNNNNNNNNNNNNNNNNNNNNNNNNNNNNNNNNNNNNNNNNNNNNNNNNNNNNNNNNNNNNNNNNNNNNNNNNNNNNNNNNNNNNNNNNNNNNNNNNNNNNNNNNNNNNNNNNNNNNNNNNNNNNNNNNNNNNNNNNNNNNNNNNNNNNNNNNNNNNNNNNNNNNNNNNNNNNNNNNNNNNNNNNNNNNNNNNNNNNNNNNNNNNNNNNNNNNNNNNNNNNNNNNNNNNNNNNNNNNNNNNNNNNNNNNNNNNNNNNNNNNNNNNNNNNNNNNNNNNNNNNNNNNNNNNNNNNNNNNNNNNNNNNNNNNNNNNNNNNNNNNNNNNNNNNCAAUUCUUUUUCGAUAAUGGUCUCAUUCACUUUUCCCUUUUUCUUUUUUCUAGCACUUGACAAUGCCUCCGAAAUUUGUCUCUUUGUUCUUUUAACAUAGUCGGGAGUAUAUGGAUGAGAGAUCUUUGAUGAUGGCCUAAUACCUCUCUUAGACUUCAUGGUGACGAUAACUUUCUCUAAAGACUCAAUCUUAGUAUUCAUGGUGACGAUAGUUUUCUCUAAAGACUCUACUCUGACAUUCAAUAAAUCUAUCUACUUACUACUCUACUUAAUUGAAAAUAAAAAAUGAAAUGGAGGUGCACCCAAACUGUGGAGCAGCAACCUGUGAUCCAUUCGGUUAACCACAUGUUCUUUUUACUCGCGAAAAUAGUGCCUUCGACCUGACUUUCUGAAAUGGGAUUCCGAGAAGGUGGAGUUCAAUAACCCAGUUCAGUGACCGAGGAGAGGUUGAGAAGAAGACAAUGAAUGGAAUGGUCGUUCUUGACAGAUCCGAUCGGGUGUUCAUAAUCUGGAGUAAAAGGAUUCGAACCUUUGCAUGCCGGUAUCCUUAGUGGAUGGAGUUUCUUGAAGACAAGGAACAUUCGAUGUGAGAAGAUGUUCCUACUCCAAAACCACCACUAAUAUCACCGAAGUCUCCUCCUCUUUCGAAAUCAACACCAUCAGUACAUCUAUCAACAUUUGGAGUAAAUUCUCCUCCCCCUCCAUCACCAACACCACUAAAAACUCUCUCAACAAUUGGAGAAGAUGCUCCUCCACCUCCUACAUCAAGAUUAUGCUCAUCAAUUAUGAUGUCUCUUUUUAUAGCCAAAACACCAUUCAAAUUUGUCUCAAACUUUUCAAUCUUAUCAUCCUUGGCUAAUUUCUUAGGCACAAACUUAGUGAAAAAUUCCAUUUCCAUUUCACUAGAUGUAGGAAUUAUCCAUGGAUGCACAAUCUACAUGUAAAAAUAAUAAUAAUUAAAAUGUGAUAAAGCAACUACUUUCUACAUGUAAAAAUAAUAAUAAUAAAAAUGUGAUAAAGCAACUGCUGCAUUUAAAUAUUAUUAUAUACCAGUUGUUCUAAUUGUUCCAGCAAUUGUUGUAAUAACUUCAACAAUUGACAGCAACUAAUUAAAUAAAUAAAACACUUGUUGAAAAGGCUACAUCAAAAACAGCAAAGCAACAACAAUUUCACUUUAACUAAAAAUGUUUAAAGAAUAAUGAUUACCGAGUCUUGAGGGGGAUCAAACAACUCAUUAAUGUUAGCUGAUUCGUUAUUAGUCACCAAAAGCCAUCGAAAAAUCCUUGGUGAAGACACUUGUUUCAAAAACACCUUAUAUUUCUUUUGGAGGAAAGGAACAACCUCAAAAUGCCCAACACUACAUAAAAUAAUCACAAAAAGAGAUCAAAAUAUUGGAAGCACCCAAAAAUAAAUGAAAUAAAUAUAUAUAUGAAUUAAAAUAAAAUAAAAUAAAAUUUAACCAUAAAGGCCCAUGGAAAGCCAUAAAGAUUGGUAGUCUUCCCAUCAACAGUCUUCACCGCUUUCAAUAGAUGCUUAAUUGUAGUAUCAUAGCUAAUACGACCCCAUGGAUAAGCAGAGAAAAAUCCACUUUUUUGGAAUAUUUGUAUUCACAUCUUUUCCACAAAGAAAGCUAUGAACAAAAUAAAGUAAACACAAUGAUUUUUUUACAUCUUUACUAAGAUUUUUGGGUUGGAGAUGUUCAAUCAACUCAUUGCUCUUGCAACUCCUUCCCACAACCUCAAGAAUUUCUUUUCGUCUCAUUUUUGUCUUAGUUGAUAUAUUUUCACCAUCAUACACUUCUUAAUUAUGGCAAUUUAAGCCGGUGAUGAUAACAAACUCCUUCAUUCCAAAACAAAUCAGCAUGCCACUAUAAUUUAUCCAAAUUUCUUCUUUUCGAUGGCUAUAAAUUUGACGGCGAAGAAGUUGGUAGACUAAACUCAUUUGAAAUCUUAUACGAUCUUCAAGUGGUAAGUAAUUUCCGAAAAUAGAAGAUCGAAAGAACUUUGCCAAUUUUGUUUUCUAAAAUCGUUCUAAAUUUAGAAAACUUACGUAACUCCGACUUAACAGUUAAAGAACCUCUUAAGUUUGGAUACAUAUCAAUCAUUGACUCCUAAUUGUAAUUUGCAUACCUAAUCGACUUAACAAUGAAGUUAUCGAGUGAAGGACUGAGCGGAGAAGACUCAACAAUAUGAGAUGUCUCCUUUUUUGGAAUGGCUAUAUCAUCUUGUUCCUCCUCAACUGCUCUAUCAUCUCUUUCUACAAUUGUAGAAGAAACAUCUAUUUCAUGUUCUCUUUCUUCUUCUAUAGAUUUUUUCAAAGUUGUGUUUUCUAGUUCUUCUUCUUCUCUUUUGUCUUUGUGUUCUGAUUCGCCUUUCAUACGUUUUAGUAGGAGUUGUUCGUUUUUUCCUUGGAGUCAUGGAUGCACAAUCUAUAUAUAAAAACAAUAAAAUCAAAAUGUAAUAAUAAAAAAAGACAAUUCAUUUUCAUUUAGAUAAUUUUGAAAGUUAGUUUCAAAACUACAUAAAGAAAUAGGGUAAACAAUUAUAAAUAUAUCAUCAAAAUUUGGCUGGAUGCAUGCUAUUUGAAGUAUAUAUGCAAAUCAUCUAUAUGCCAUCUUGUUUGGGAUUGAGGUAUAGUAAUUAUUGUUGUUGUAUAUAAAGCAUGCUAUAAAAUAAGGUAACAACAACAUCAGGAAGUGACAAAAUCAUAUUACAUUUUUCCUCUUAAAUCAUGAACAAAAUCAUAGGCUUGAAAAAAAUGAAUAUGUUACUAGUUACUAUAUAAUACAUUAUGUGAAACACACCCACCAAGAGUUAAUGAACAUCAUAAUAUUGGAAGAUAACAACUAAUACAAGUGCUCAACUACCAAUGAUCAAACUAACUUAAGACUAAGAAAAAUAAAUGAUCUCUAAGAACAACAUUCUCCAUAAGAUGAGCAACAAUUAAAGGUCCAAGAAAGACACCUCUAAUGUCUCAAACAUUUACCUAAAAAAAUCAAACUUAUUUUUUCCUAUAGGAAACAAGAACCUAAAACAGGGCAAAACAUUAAAAUGCAGACAUUAAAGAGCCAUCAAUCACCACAUAGAAGAAGAUAAGAAUAACCCCACAUAGAUAACAAAAAAAAACAGAAGAAGGAUCAAUGAAAGCACACAAAUCUUGUGUAAAAGACCCACCUUUUUUCCGCAAUAAAACCCUACCAAGCAAAAUCGUUAAACCCACAAACUUCCAUAUGCUAAAAACAAAGAAGGUCUAAUAAAACCCAAUGGAAAGAAAAGAAAAGAGUGUUACCUUGAGGUAGAUGACGACUAUGACAAAGAAGACCAAGACGAAGGUAUUGGAAGUUGCCAACAAUUUUUUCGCAACAAUGUCGUCUGCCUUUGCUACAAGCUGUUGCAAGGAAGAAAAAGAAAGACAAUUGGGAAUGGGUUUCAAGCUGUUGCAAGAAAGAAAGAAAAGAAAGACUAUUGGGAAUAGGUUUAUUUGAAUAUUUUUAAAAGUUUAGAAGUUUUAAAUAUUACAUUUUAAUCCCCAAUUAUCUUAAUCACUAAUUAAGAAGGGGUUUGACUUGGUCUUUUUUUUUUUGUCACCAAUUUUAAUUUUAAGACAUUUUUGUCACCUUCUCCUGAAUUAUCUCGAGCUACUUCUCCAAUUGUGUUUCCCCAAUUCUGCCAUGAUUCUUCAUUUGAACUUUAUUUUUUCUUUAACAACAAUGGAGCAGCCAAGAAAUACUAGAAAAUAAAAUGAAAACAACCGGUCAAUGGAGUAAAUUUUAUCAGAAAAAAUAAAGUUUUUUUUGGAGCAAUAAUUUUGUUGAUCGAAUUUAACAACAGGGAAGAGAGGGAGAUGUGGCGUGACGUGACUUCAAAGACAUUGUCGAGCAGCACCUAAACACACAAAAAUCGAUCCGAUCUGAGCACUUUUAGACGAGUAUGAUGACUCUACUAAUGGAGGAAAGAGAAGAAGGAGAGUGGCAUCGUGGUUAGCCAUGGCCGUUUCCGAAGCAAACCGUCGUCGCCGGAGCUCGAAGCAGAUCAUAGCAGUCAUGAAAGUAAGGAAAAUAAAGACAAUUAAAUAUCAAAUGAUAUUAUGAACAUAAUUAUUAAUAUAAUUUAGGAGUUAUGAUCAUCAAAAGUCAUGAAAAUAAAGACAAGUAAAAUUUUCUAUUAAAAAAUAUAAAUAAAUGAAGGAAUAUAAUUGACAUAUUCAGUUUUGUACAACAAUAAGAUAUAUAUAAAUAAGAAAAAUUAUCAAAAAAUGAGAAAAAAAGAAGUUAAAUAUGAUUCUUGGCCAAAAAAAUGUGUCACGUCACUUUUCUUUUAUCUAGAUAAUUUAUAUGUUGGUAAAGAAAGUAGAUUGAGAGAGAAAAAUAAUUUUACUAAGUCGUUUAUAUCCUAAUCAAAUACUUUUGCAUUUUGAAUUCGGACCAGAUCAUAGCAGUAAUUUCUGAAAUUUCAAAAACUUAAGAACUUCUAACAAUAACAAUAAAAAAAAAAUUAAAAUAAGAAGAUCACAAAGUUACAUAUUAAUAGUUAAAUUUUUUUAUGAAUUAAACUGUAUUUUGAAAAUUAAUUAACUUUACAUUCUCAUGUUCUAUCAUUCAUCUAUUGGACUAAAAAUACCUUUGAACUAUUAGAAUAGGUCUAAAAAUACCCCUCAUUCAUCUAUUGGGCUAAAAAUACCCAUUUAUCCACCUUUUUGGUCCAUCUCUACCCUUAAAACUAACAACCACUUUUUUAAAAAAUUAUUAUUAUUAUUAUUUGUUACAUGUCAUUUUCUUAUUGGAUAAAUUAUCUCAACCCAUUUAAUUUUCCCCUACCCACCCAUUGUAGUGAACAUGAUCAAACCCAAUUAGAAGACCCAUUAAAAAAUAAAUUGAUUGAAUCUUUCUCCCCUAACCCCAAGCCUCUUUCGUCUUCCCUCUUUUCUUAUUCAAAAAUUUCAAGAUAAUAUUCAAUCAAAUAAUACAAUUUCCGCUGCAAUACUAACUUGAAGUUGAAGGAUUCAAGGAGUAUUGAUUUUUGCAGUCUUCUUUCCAUCACGUAGAAAACUACACCAAAAUCUAUCAAAAUUGCAUCUAAGCUAUAACAAAACAGAAGCAAACCUGCACCUAUAUUAUACCAAAAACUAAAUCAAAACUGUAAAAAAACAGAGGCCAAAAGGCAAUGAAAGUGCACCAUAAUGAGAUUAAAAACUGGACCAAAAUUUGAUGAUAAACAGCACCAAAGCUGGUCCAAAAACGAAAAUAAAAGUGGUUCAAAUUUACUUUAUUAACGAUGGAAUAUGUUACAAUGAAAUUUACGAAUUAUUCCAACUCCUUAAACGUAAGAAUAUUAAUCAAACUAAACACAAUUUCACUAUCAUACCAACAAUAAUUGUAAUUAUAAUUAAGAACAUUAUACUAACUAGACACCAUCAACAAAUUUUCAUAUCAUACACUUAUCUAGAUUGCAUUGGACAUUGUAUCAUUUGAUUGAAAGUAGUCUAGAAAUAUUUUGAAUAAGAAAAGAGGGAAGAAGAAAGAGGCUUGGGGUUAGGGGAGAAAAAUUCAAUCAAUUUAUUUUUUAAUGGGUCUUCUAAUUGGGUUUGGGUCAUGUUCACUACAAUGGGUGGGUAGGGGAAAAUUAAAUGGGUUGAGAUUUAAUUUAUCCAAUAGGAAAAUGACAUGUAACAAAUAAUAAUAAUAUUUUUUUUAAAAAAAGUGGUUGUUAGUUUUAAGGGUAGAGAUGGACCAAAAAAAUGGAUGGAGGGGUAUUUUUAGCCCAAUAGAUGAAUGAGGUAUAUUUUGUCGAGGGGGUUCGGAUGAACACUCUCCCUCCCUUGAUUUGCUCAUCGAUACUAUUAUUGUUAGUGCAAGAGGAAACUGCUAGGGAAGUUGCCUAUGAUAUAUGUUGGAGCAGAUGGGAUAUAAGAUUUUGAUUUGAUGGGUUCAAUUUUUAGAUUCUUAUCAUUGAGCCCGUUAUACUUUGAAAUUAUGGUGGGUUCAUGAUAUUCUAUUAUUAAUUAAAAUUUUAGUGAUUUUUCACAUAUACUUUUAUGAUCUGUGUCAAAAAUGCAAAUCUUAUACUUAUAUUCGCCAUCCGCCCUGUGUAACUGAACAUAUUACUGUUUGUCUUCCAUGUAGCAGUGAUCCUAAAACCUUUCCUUAUUUAUGAUCUGUAACUAUGUUCUUAUCCUCUAGGCUAGUUCUAGCACCUGCAUUAUAAAUUCACUACUACUAUAUCUUUCUUUCUUAUUGCAUUUGGGAUUUGCAGAUUGCUCUUUGUUAUCAAAACAUUGCACAAAUCUCUCAUGUGGUUAUUCACAUAUAACCCCCAUUAUUUCAUAUUUUAUAUAAGAAUUAUGUAAUCAAAAAAUAAUUUAGCAUCUUAUGUGUUGAUUUUGUUCUGUUAUUGUAACAUAACAAAACUACCUCAUUUGAAUUUCUUGAAAACGGAUGCAUGUAUUGAAUUCUUUCAUGCCACACGUAUUUCUUUAAAUUAUUCCAAACAUAAGUACAACAACAACAUAAGUAGUGAUGAAAAAUACAAAGUGAACAUAAAAUUGCUAAAGAAACAACUAAGAAAAAGUAAGGGUUGAAUCCAUCUAAUGGAAUCCUGGAGGCCACCUCUUGAUGCUAAUAUUAUGGCCAAGAGUGACAAAGAAAUAGUGUAAUCUGAUUUAACUAACCCUAAAGCUAGUUCAUCUCUGUACAAUCUCUUACAGGGCCCUAUUCAGGUGUGUCACAAUUAUGUUAGCAGCUAUAUGUGUCAUCUUUCUUCAAUCGUUCCUGACAUUGUUUCAUGAACUGGGGUUCCAGUUUCUGUUGUAGAGAACCCUUCAGAAGCACGGGAUUCUCCUAGGCCAUCGGAGAUUCCGAUUUCUGGGCUUUGCAAAGGAAGGUUGGGCGAUAAUUCAAUAGAAGCAUCACUUUCUGCAAACACUGUAGCCGUUAGGCUUUCAUUCCCUUCAGAUGGCUUUUUUGACAUAGAAUUAGAGUCGUCUCUCUUUAAAUCAAAGACUUUUGCUAUUGCACAAAGCUUUUUUCCUAUUGAAUCAUCAGUGACUAAGAUUUCUCUAUUCUGAUAAAGGAAGAUGAGGAAGAAUAGGAGAAGAGAGGAGCCUGCUGAUAGGAGAAGAGCGGAGCCUGCUGAUACACCAGCAAUAAGGAAAAGGCCCUUAAAACUAUCGAGUGUGAGGCUAGAUGCUAUAGCCAUUCCAUCUUGCUUUAGACAAUUUGUUUCAUUCCCAAACCAUUUCUGGAUUAUGUUAUUCAUAGUCUCUCCCUCUAUCACCUUCAAGACUGCUCUUGAGACGUCAGGUACCAAAGGAGAUCCUUUUGGAAAUGCCUGCAACAAGUUGUGGGAAAAUUAAAGAUUAGAUCAUUGAGUAAACCACUAACCACUCUAAAACAAAUGUUAACACUUGCUGAAACAUCAGUUAAGUACAACAAUCUUACAAAUCCAAAGCCGGCAGCCUUGUAUGUCGGACCAACCAUAAUAUACUUCCUGCAGUAUUUGCUGAGCAAGAGUCUGAGAUAAGGUAGUUCAUCAACAAUUGCACCAACACCUCCAUUUUUACUACCUCUUGAGAGUGCAUCAUUAUACUCUUCCAAUGUGCUGUAACUCCUAAAUUUGGAGCUGUCAAAUUUCAUGCGUGUCAAGACAUCUUUGACAAAGGAACCUUUUUGGUACCCUACAUAUUCUCCAUUCUUGAUGAGAUCAUUGAGGUCNNNNNNNNNNNNNNNNNNNNNNNNNNNNNNNNNNNNNNNNNNNNNNNNNNNNNNNNNNNNNNNNNNNNNNNNNNNNNNNNNNNNNNNNNNNNNNNNNNNNNNNNNNNNNNNNNNNNNNNNNNNNNNNNNNNNNNNNNNNNNNNNNNNNNNNNNNNNNNNNNNNNNNNNNNNNNNNNNNNNNNNNNNNNNNNNNNNNNNNNNNNNNNNNNNNNNNNNNNNNNNNNNNNNNNNNNNNNNNNNNNNNNNNNNNNNNNNNNNNNNNNNNNNNNNNNNNNNNNNNNNNNNNNNNNNNNNNNNNNNNNNNNNNNNNNNNNNNNNNNNNNNNNNNNNNNNNNNNNNUAAUCUUGUGAACAAGAUCAUCAUAGUUUUUAGAAGUUGGGCUAUGUGCUAUUGGAAAUGGAAUAAAUUCGUAAGGGACAUCAUAUUUCAAAGAUAGGAUGACUUCUUUGAAGACAUCUGGCCCUAAACCAGUUGAAAUUACUGCUUGUGUCGUUGGAUCUCUUUCCACUUUAAUGAAUUGCUCCAGCCCUCCUUUGUCAGGAACUCCCAACCCUUAACUUCUUCCCACUUGUGGGUAUUUCCCAGCCUCUCGGAACAAUAGUAGAUUCACCAGGCCAAAUGAUGAUCCCUAGUUGCUUAUUAUUAGUUUUAGCUGUUUUACCACUCAUCUUCAGUUUAUGCGAAAUGCCAUCCUUCUCUGUCCAGAAUCCAACGACUUUCUCUCCUUUCCCGAUUAUAUUCACAAUCUGAUAUGGGUACGGCUGCAGUUCUCUAUCAAUGAUACGGAAAUCACCACUUAGUCCUGGUUUUAGCUCUGUGUUUUGCAUAGAGUCAAUGAGCAGAGAUCCCACUUCUGAGGUUCUAAGUGCAUCUAGGUCUGUUAAGUUCUCUCUAGUGUCUGGUUUCUUUAAUUUUGGGAUAGCAGUAGUGCCCACUUUCUCUACUGCUUCUGCUAAUAAGGUGAUGCUAUCAUAUGCCCAUAGCCCGAAAACAUUGAGUUCUACUUGGUCCAUGUCUGGAUACUCUUGACGAAAUCUCUUUCUCCAUCUCUUGGUGAACAUGUCAAGCUCAUUUGAUCUUGUAACAUAAGAUUUUACACCCAGAACACCUUGCAUUGAUGACUCAAUUACUGAAGUAUCUACCAGGUUCCAUAGGGGCUUUCCUCAUAGAUUACUACAACCUCCCUCCAAUUAUAGUUUUUAACAAUUGCUGCAAUGGCUUUAGUCUGACUGGAAGAAGGAAGUGCUCCUCUGAUGAAGAAGGGAUUUUCCUUGACUGUAAGUAAAGGACUUGUUGCUGGAGAAAUUAUAGGGACUUUUACUCUGUUCCCUAAGUCGAUCACAAAAUCAGUUUGAGUAGACAUUUGUGGCCCAAAGAUAGCUUGCACUUGGACAUCCUUUAGCAAGUAUAUGGCUGCACAUACACAAUCAGACUUAUAAGUAAUUGUCUGAACAUCUCUUUCAAAAUAGAAAAACUAAAGGGAAAAGUAAUAUCUUAGAGAAAAAGUGAAUCUUUUGAAGCAAAGAGAGAGAGAUAAUGCUAGUUUAACAUAGGUAAAGCUUAGAGCUGAAUUUUACCAGCUGAUGCUGCUUCAACAUCAUCUUUCUUUGAAUCCCUGAUAUGAGGAACUAUCCUUAUGGCACCGCGACUAGUGUUGGCAUGAUAAUCCGCAAGAGCUAGUAAGAUAGAUAUGUGCAUUACUUUUCCUACUUCUGUUUCCAGAUCAAGAAUUAUUCCCACAUCCAUCUUUACAGCACUAGUGUUAUUAUCUUCACCUCUUAUUCCAAUUACAUAGUGGCAAAAACCAAUGAUGGAAACAAGUUGAAUGAAGAUAAUUAGGGAUUUGCAUCUUGGAUUAUGCAUUUGAAAAACUCUAGUAGACAGUAAUAUGAGAGCUGGACAAGAAGCAGUUGUGGUUGUGCAAGAUAUAUAACUAUAACUUUUCUAUAAUUAAAAUAAAACCAUACCUCAUAACUGCAGAAAGAAAAGUCAAAGUUUUUCAAGAAUAACAAAUGGUUUAAAAUAUUACUUCUAGUUUGAUUCUUAAAGAAAGAGGACUUUUCACACUUGUUAGACCACAAGCUAGUAAAGNNNNNNNNNNNNNNNNNNNNNNNNNNNNNNNNNNNNNNNNNNNNNNNNNNNNNNNNNNNNNNNNNNNNNNNNNNNNNNNNNNNNNNNNNNNNNNNNNNNNNNNNNNNNNNNNNNNNNAUUCAUCUUCAGUUUAUGCGAAAUGCCAUCCUUCUCUGUCCAGAAUCCAACGACUUUCUCUCCUUUCCCGAUUAUAUUCACAAUCUGAUAUGGGUACGGCUGCAGUUCUCUAUCAAUGAUACGGAAAUCACCACUUAGUCCUGGUUUUAGCUCUGUGUUUUGCAUAGAGUCAAUGAGCAGAGAUCCCACUUCUGAGGUUCUAAGUGCAUCUAGGUCUGUUAAGUUCUCUCUAGUGUCUGGUUUCUUUAAUUUUGGGAUAGCAGUAGUGCCCACUUUCUCUACUGCUUCUGCUAAUAAGGUGAUGCUAUCAUAUGCCCAUAGCCCGAAAACAUUGAGUUCUACUUGGUCCAUGUCUGGAUACUCUUGACGAAAUCUCUUUCUCCAUCUCUUGGUGAACAUGUCAAGCUCAUUUGAUCUUGGAACAUAAGAUUUUACACCCAGAACACCUUGCAUUGAUGACUCAAUUACUGAAGUAUCUACCAGGUCCAGAAGACUCGUCAGCACAUCAGUGAUGAUCCAUGCAUAUCCACUGUUCAUCAUCCCGGCUUCUUUGGCCUUGAGGAAAAGGCGGGAGGCAAGAUUUUCUUGCAAGUGCACAAUGAACACCCUGGUCUGCAUUGUCUUCAACUUGUAUAGCUCCCUGAGGAUUUGAUCAUCAUUGGCUGAAGGAGAAAUACCACUUCUAUAGGAGACUAAAGUAUUGAUUUCCAGCAAGGCAUCAGUCAAAUAUGGAAGUAUCCCGGUUCCAUAGGGGCUUUCCUCAUAGAUUACUACAACCUCCCUCCAAUUAUAGUUUUUAACAAUUGCUGCAAUGGCUUUAGUCUGACUGGAAGAAGGAAGUGCUCCUCUGAUGAAGAAGGGAUUUUCCUUGACUGAAAGUGAAGGACUAGUUGCUGGAGAUAUUAUAGGAACUCUAACUCUGUUCCCCAAGUCGAUCACAAAAUCAGUUUGUGUAGACAUUUGUGGCCCAAAGAUAGCUUGCACUUGGACAUCCUUUAGCAAGUAUAUGGCUGCACAUACACAAUCAGACUUAUAAGUAAUUGUCUGAACAUCUCUUUCAAAAUAGAAAAACUAAAGGGAAAAGUAAUAUCUUAGAGAAAAAGUGAAUCUUUUGAAGCAAAGAGAGAGAGAUAAUGCUAGUUUAACAUAGGUAAAGCUUAGAGCUGAAUUUUACCAGCUGAUGCUGCUUCAACAUCAUCUUUCUUUGAAUCCCUGAUAUGAGGAACUAUCCUUAUGGCACCGCGACUAGUGUUGGCAUGAUAAUCCGCAAGAGCUAGUAAGAUAGAUAUGUGCAUUACUUUUCCCACAUCUGUUUCCAGAUCAAGAAUUAUGCCCACAUCCACCUUUACAGCACUAGUGUUAUUAUCUUCACCUCUUAUUCCAAUUACAUAGUGGCAAAAGCUAAUGAUGGAAACAAGUUGAAUGAAAAUAAUUAGGAAUCUGCAUCUUGGAUUAUGCAUUUGAAAAACUCUAGUAGACAGUAAUAUGAGAGCUGGACAAGAAGCAGUUGUGGUUGUGCAAGAUAUAUAACUAUAACUUUUCUAUAAUUAAAAUAAAACCAUACCUCAUAACUGCAGAAAGAAAAGUCAAAGUUUUUCAAGAAUAACAAAUGGUUUAAAAUAUUACUUCUAGUUUGAUUCUUAAAGAAAGAGGACUUUUCACGCUUGUUAGACCACAAGCUAGUAAAGCCUCCUCUUCAGUUUUGACCAAAUCAAUAAAUGUCUAAAUGAACAUAGUGACAAAAUUGAUUGGUACGCAUUCUCCCAAUUAUAUAUAACCUAUGACGUUUGUGUAUUUAUUUGAUGACUAUCUAGAGUCUAUUAAAAGGACUUCCCACAUUUUGGCUAAGUCAUGCAUGGUGAAAGUUGAGAGCUAGCUCAGAUACAAAUAAGUAGAAGAGACCAUUGUUUCUAUGACUUGGAAAAGAGUAGCUAUGACUAGUAAUCUUUAGCUUACACGGUUUCAGUUUAGAAUUGGUCAGUAGUAUUAACUUGCUUGCAUUUUUAUUUUAUUUUAAGAUGAGUGGAACUUUUUUUUUUUUUGGCUUUUUCUAAUUGUUAAUCUUAUAUAUUUUUUAAAUUUAUUUGUGAAAUUUGCAUAAAUAGCAAUCUUUUUUAUUUUAAGAUGAGUGGAACUUCUCUUCUUUUUUUUUUUUUGCUUUUUCUAAUUGUUGAUCUUAUAUUUUUUUAAUUAAUUUUUAUUUGUGAGGUUUGCAUAAAUAGCCGAAGAGGUUCAAACCCACAACUCUAGCAUGGGAAAGCAUUCCCAAGACCCCUUCCUUACCACUAAGCCAUCAAUUAGUUUUGUUAAGGGGUUCACAAGUUAAAAUACAUAUAUAUUUAUUUAAUUUUUUAAUACAAGUAGAGGGUUUAUGGAAAAGCUAUUGGGUUCGCCCGAACCCCCACUAAGAUAGGCAUAAAAGUAUCAAUACAUUUAUUUUUAUGAAGGUAAAUACCAUUAGAUGUAACUUUUCAAGAAUGAAAACAUGUAUUAAAACAAAACUGAAAAGAGUAAUAACAUAAGUGAGAAAAAAGACAAGAAAUGUAGAGAGACAAGAGAGAGUUUUCUUAUUCUUCCAAGUAUAAUCAAGUGUUUUUCAAAUCUUCAAGUGCAUAACACAAUCUCAAGACCUCUAUUUAUAUUGUUAUAAAAAGGCAUACAAAGAUAUAACAAUAACCAUGAUAUUAAUUUUUGAGAAUGUAGGGAAGAUCAAGGGAUAACAAUAAACAUGAUAUUAAUUUUUGAGAAUGUAGGGAAGAUCAAGGGGUGUAGAAGAUAAAUGAGGAGAUGGUGAAGGUGCGAGUAUUAUUACAUAUAAUGGUGAAAUUACACCUUGAAGUUAUGGACAUCCACAUUAAUAUAAUAUAUUUACAACAAAACAUUAAUUACAUAUAAAUUAUAACUAAAUUAAAAAUGAUGAGAAAAACAUAAAAAUGCCCCCAAAAAAGGAGAAAAAAAUUAAAUAUGAAUAGAGAUCAUAGAGAGGUGUCACGUCACUUUGUCUAUAUCUAGCUUUAUUUUAUAUAUAUAAGUAAGAAUAGAGGUCAUAGCCUAUAUCUAGCUUUAUUAUAUAUAUAGAUUUUUCUUCAAUUUUUGUUGGUUUUCUCUUUUUAAAUUUAAUUAUGUAAUACGUAAUAAUAAAAAAAAAACAAGAGCCUUAUUUUCCCCCAAUUUUCAUUGGUUUUUUCUUUUUAAAAUUUAUUUAUGUAAAUAUAUUCUUUUUAAAAUUUAUUUAUGUAAUUAUUAUUUUUUUGGAAUAUUUUUAAUAGCUCAAAAAAAAUUAAUACAAUUGAAUGAAAAGAGAAAAUCGGGUUAUUUUAAUCAAAAUUGAACAAUUUGAGUUGAUUUGGGGCUUUCCGUCAAAAGAGGGGUAUAUAUAUGGUGAAAUUAGUAACGGUAGGGAAAAAACUAACUUCACUUUAACGGUAAGGGCAUAGUCAACCAAUAAAACAAAAUUAAGGGGUGUUUUUGACCCUUUUCCCUAAUCUUUUUCAUAGGUAGCAGUGGAUACUGGAUACAUUUGUUAUAGUCAUAUACUCAAUAAUAUAGUAAUUUUUGUUUAUAUUUUUUAUGAACUGAAAUUGCAAGAAUUAUCAUUUAAUAAGCGAGUUUUCAAUUUUUGUUCUUCAACGGUCGAAUUUAUAUCUAGUAAAAUAUAUAUUCUGUAAAGGAGAAAAGUCAUGUAAGGCAUAAGUUGCGGAUAUUAUAAUGCAAGUAUGUAUAUAUAUAUAUCAGAAAAUAAUUUAUCUUGAACACAAAAAUUAAAAAUUAGCACAAAAUAAGGACAAAAGUGCAAUAUAUGUAUAUAUAUGUGUUAUCAGAAAGCUAUUUAUCUUGAACACAAAAAUUAAAAAUUAGCACAAAAUAAGGACAUAAGUGCAAUAUAUGUAUAUAUAUGUGUUAUCAGAAAGUUAUUUAUCUCGAACACAAAAACUAAAAAUUAGCACAAAAUAAGGUCAAAAGUGCAAAAAUUUUAUACUUUCGCUCUCCCGACUCAAGCUAAUACGUUAAAAAUUAAUGGGAAAAUUAUACAUAAUAGUAAAUAUUUAGCCUGUAUUAGGUGAUAUAGCUAUAGUUUUAGAAAAUUGUAAUUCGCGGCUAUAAUUUUUUCAAUUCUUGCUAUUGACCUGAUUUGUAUAAUUCGCAUAAUUUGUAUAAAUCUAGAAUUUGUAUAAUUCGGUUCCUAAUAGUAAAAAUCUAGAAUUGUGUAUAUGUUUACCCUAGUUAUUUGUAUACGAUUUAUUAUUUAUAAUAAAUUACCUUGUUUGUAUAUCGACAAGCGAAAUAUAUAAAUGGAGUUCUGAAAAAUUCAUAAAUGUAUAAAUACAUAAUUUGUAUAUAUUUAUCCUAUUGGUAUAUUCACAAGCGAAAUAUACAAACGUGCAGAAAUAUACAAACCACAGCCUCCAUAUCAAACAGAACUAUAGCUAUGGAGCGCAGUUAUUAGAGCUUUAUUAUGUUUGCUAUUUCUAAAAUUUUCUCAAAAUUAAAAUAGACUAUGUUUUUCGGUCUUAUUUCAAUAGGCUCAUAUGGUAUAUAAUUUGAAAGCCUAGGUUUUUUUUGUUUUUUUAUAUCAAUAUUCUUUCAACUUAGCCGAUUGACAAUUAAUUAAAUCGAUGACAAAAAUAUUGAUUUCGUAAAUUUGAGUGAUGAAAAUCAAAUUAGAAAAGUAACUAACAAAUGGAAUAUUUUAUGUUAGUGAAUGAAUGAAAUUAUAGGCCUCUUAAUUACAAGAUUUAGAUAAUCUUCUUUCUUUUGAAUUAAUUUUUGAGGUGUGAAUUAUACUCAAAAUAUAAUUUAACAUGACAUUAAAGACAAACCUGAUGUGGGCUCCCAGGAAACCAAACAAUUGCGGAGGUGGAAAUUAUUUUCUAUUCAUGAAUGUGAGCAUGUGACACACCGAAUUGGAUCAUUAUUAUAAUGCAAGUAUGUAUAUAUAUAUAUCAGAAAAUAAUUUAUCUUGAACACAAAAAUUAAAAAUUAGCACAAAAUAAGGACAUAAGUGCAAUAUAUGUAUAUAUAUGUGUUAUCAGAAAGUUAUUUAUCUCGAACACAAAAACUAAAAAUUAGCACAAAAUAAGGUCAAAAGUGCAAAAAUUUUAUACUUUCGCUCUCCCGACUCAAGCUAAUACGUUAAAAAUUAAUGGGAAAAUUAUACAUAAUAGUAAAUAUUUAGCCUGUAUUAGGUGAUAUAGCUAUAGUUUUAGAAAAUUGUAAUUCGCGGCUAUAAUUUUUUCAAUUCUUGCUAUUGACCUGAUUUGUAUAAUUCGCAUAAUUUGUAUAAAUCUAGAAUUUGUAUAAUUCGGUUCCUAAUAGUAAAAAUCUAGAAUUGUGUAUAUGUUUACCCUAGUUAUUUGUAUACGAUUUAUUAUUUAUAAUAAAUUACCUUGUUUGUAUAUUGACAAGCGAAAUAUAUAAAUGGAGUUCUGAAAAAUUCAUAAAUGUAUAAUACAUAAUUUGUAUAUAUUUAUCCUAUUGGUAUAUUCACAAGCGAAAUAUACAAACGUGCAGAAAUAUACAAACCACAGCCUCCAUAUCAAACAGAACUAUAGCUAUGGAGCGCAGUUAUUAGAGCUUUAUUAUGUUUGCUAUUUCUAAAAUUUUCUCAAAAUUAAAAUAGACUAUGUUUUUCGGUCUUAUUUCAAUAGGCUCAUAUGGUAUAUAAUUUGAAAGCUUAGGUUUUUUUGUUUUUUUAUAUCAAUAUUCUUUCAACUUAGCCGAUUGACAAUUAAUUAAAUCGAUGACAAAAAUAUUGAUUUCGUAAAUUUGAGUGAUGAAAAUCAAAUUAGAAAAGUAACUAACAAAUGGAAUAUUUUAUGUUAGUGAAUGAAUGAAAUUAUAGGCCUCUUAAUUACAAGAUUUAGAUAAUCUUCUUUCUUUUGAAUUAAUUUUUGAGGUGUGAAUUAUACUCAAAAUAUAAUUUAACAUGACAUUAAAGACAAACCUGAUGUGGGCUCCCAGGAAACCAAACAAUUGCGGAGGUGGAAAUUAUUUUCUAUUCAUGAAUGUGAGCAUGUGACACACCGAAUUGGAUCAUGAAAUCUCAUAUAAAGAAUUUGGAUUUGUACGGUAUAUAUGAGGAUAAUAAUGAAAGAAAUGUCUCACAUCAAUGAUAAAUAAAAUCCUAAGCUUCGUUGUUCAACAAGUGAAUUCAAAUUUUUAGAUUCUUUAAUAUCUUGAUGUUAAACUAAAAAAUAUUGGUUUAUAAUUACUCUUAAUUAUUUAAUUUUUUGUCGGUUUGCUUCACGGGUGUGAUUAGCAAGGGAUAAUCAUUCAUUUUGUGGCAUGUAUAAUUAAUAAUUACUAGUGUAUUUGUCCGCGCUUUGCGUGUGUAUAAAAAAAUAUUAAAUAUAUUUUUAAAUAAUUAAUGUUAUUAUUUGAUAAAUAUUCUAAUAAAUAAUAUAAUAAAAGGGAGAAACACAAAUUAAGUUACGAUUUUGAUAUUAUCUAUUCAGAAAAAUUGUUAAAAAAGUUUCAUGCUACAGUUUCAAUUUAAAAUUGCUGAUAAAAAGAUGAAAAUAUAAAAUUGAUAUGAAAAGCUUUAGUUAAAUAAACAAUCUAAUUAUCAUAGUUUCAUACUAAAUUUCAUGAUUUUAUAGCAAUAUUAUUGAUUCAACCAUUAAUAUUAAAUCUACUUUAUCGUAAAUUAUGUGACUUUCUUUUUUUGUAUAAAUGACUAUAUAAUAGAAAUAAGAAAAUCAAAAUAUAUUUGUGCUAAAUCAUCGUGAGGGAAAAAAUAUUUGAAUUAUAUUCGAACAUAGUUAUACACAAAAUUCAAAAGUUAGAGAUUUUUUUUCGAUAUCCGAUGCUCAUAGUGACACUCAUUUGAUACAUAUUUGUGUCGCAUAAUGAUAUCCGAUGCACGUAGUGACACUCAUUUGAUACAUAUUUGUGUCGCAUAAGAUCCAUUAAUAUUUUAAUUUAUAUUUAAACUUUCAUUCUUAUAGUGUGCAUUGUGAAAAGAGAUACUUAAGUUGCUACAGUGAAACAUUACCGUUGAGGUUAUACUUUUACAAUAAAAAUUAAAUUAAAUUAAACACAUAAUUUUGUCGUAUUAAGAUUAUCAGAUAGUGAUGAAGAAAUAAUUUUUUUACAAAAGAUAUGAGUAUGUAGUGUUCAAGAUGUAGAAAAAGUAUCAAGAGUUAGAUAAAUUUUUUCAAUUUAUAUAUAUAUGUGGGACAAUAAAAGUUUAACAACAUCAAAAUAAUUAUUCCUAUUAUUACAAUUUUAUUGUUGUAAUUAUUAUAAAUAAAUUGGAGCAAUAACUCUCCAAAAGAUAACUCCAUUUUUUGAUGUGGGAAAAAUAAAAUAUUUUUUUUACUUUCAAUAAUAAUAAAUUUAAACACAAAUUUGUUAUUAAAGGAAUUAAAUGAUGAAAUUUAAAAAAUUUCUUGAUAAAUAAGAGAGUUGAAUAAAUUAUUUUUUAGUAUAUAUAUACACACACUUGAUUAUUUUUAGGGAAAAGGGUCAAAAAUAUUCUCAAUUUUAGUUUAUUAGUUAAAUAUACCCCUAUCGUUGAAACAAAGUUAUUCAUACCAUCACCGUUACUAAUUUCACCAUUUAUACCCCUCAAUUUACGGAAAUUCCUAAAUCAAACAAAAUUGACCCGAUUUCUUAAAAAAUGACUCAUUUUCCAUUUUAAACCUAUGACCGACCCAUCUAUCUAUCUUAAACCCAAAAGAAUUUAACCCAUUUUCUAUACCCAUUCUAAAAAGAAAAUUCAUUUGGAGCUACUUGGGAGAAUGAAUUAUAGGUGACAAAAAAGUGUUGAAAUGUAAAAAGAGUGACUCUAGUUUUAAUUAUUAAGUGUACGUGACAAAUUUUUAAUUAAUUUUUAAAAAUAAUUAUAUAGGUCCUCAAGUUUUUAUUUUUACACUUUCACCCAAAUUUAAGUAAACCCCUAAUUUCUAAAAUAGGAAAACCCCCAAAUCAGUUCUUUUUUGUUCUCUCCCAACGUCCCGCUCUUUUCACAUUUUUUUUGCUUCUAAUCUUCAUCACUAGGCGUGACCUGACUUCAAAGACAUUGUCGAGCAGCACCUAAACACACAAAAAUCGAUCCGAUCUAAGCACUUUUAGACGAGUAUGAUGACUCUACUAAUGGAGGAAAGAGAAGAAGGAGAGUGGCAUCGUGGUCGGCCAUGGCCGUUUCCGAAGCAAACUGUCGUCGCCGGAGCUCGAAGCAGACAAUUGGAGAGAAUCAAAGACAUAGAUUUUACCCAAAUAAUUAUAACAAAAAAAAUUAAACCAAUAAAAGAAAAUUCACAACCCCACCCCCUGUAAUGUCUUCCUCAAAGAUCCUACUCAUUUGCAGAAACAUCUACACACCCCAUCCUUCCCUCUAAUUUUUUUCUCCAAACUCUCCAAUUCCUUUUAGUGCGCACACACCUACACACUAUUUCUUUUUUCAUCAUUUUAGUGUAGUAUCUUUAUUCACUAUUAUUAGAAUUUAACUUUGUAAGGGAAUUGGUGAGAUAGGUAAAUGUGCUUCUCACAAAGAUGUCUGCUUUUUGCAGUCAUGCGAAGAGGCAGCGAUGAUGAUGUUCACUUUUUGAGCUAGCUAACUUUGGAAUCUGGAGAAAAAUAAUUUAAAAGGAAGAAUAAAAAAAGUUUGUAGAAAUGGUGGCUAAAGGGUAAGGAAAAUGAGUUAAAUUAUUUUGGGUUUAAGAUAGAUAGAUGGGUCAGGCAUGGGUUUAAAAUGGGAAAUAGGUCAUUUUUUAAUAAAUCGGGUCAAUUUUAUUUGAUUUGGGGAUUUCUGUCAAUUGAGGGGUAUAAACGGUGAAAUUAAUAACGGUGAGGGUAUAAAUAACUUUGUUUUAACGGUAUGGGUAUAUUCAACUAAUAAACUAAAAUUGAGGGGUAUUUUUGACCCUUUUCCCAUAUUUUUAUAAUGCCUUUAUUUAUAGGAUAACAAUAUAAAAUAUCAAAUGAUAUCAUGAACAUGACUAUUAAUAUGAUUUAAGAGAUAUGAUCAAGUCAUGAAAGUAAGGAAAAUAAAGACAAUUAAAUAUCAAAUGAUAUUAUGAACAUAAUUAUUAAUAUAAUUUAGGAGUUAUGAUCAUCAAAAGUCAUGAAAAUAAAAACAAUUAAAAUUUUCUAUUAAAAAAUAUAAAUAAAUGAAGGAAUAUAAUUGACAUAUUCAUUUUUGUACAACAAUAAGAUAUAUAUAAAUAAGAAAAAUUAUCAAAAAAUGAGAAAAAAAGAAGAUAAAUAUGAUUCUUGGCCAAAAAAAUGUGUCACGUCACUUUUCUUUUAUCUAGAUAAUUUAUAUGUUGGUAAAGAAAGUAGAUUGAGAGAGAAAAACAAUUUUACUAAGUCGUUUAUAUCCUAAUCAAGUCUAAAAAUACCCCUCAUUCAUCUAUUGAGCUAAAAAUACCCCUCCAUCCACCUUUUUGGUCCAUCUCUACCCCUUAAAAACUAACAACUACUUUUUAAAAAUUAUUAUUAUUAUUAUUUGUUACGUGUCAUUUUCUUAUUGGAUAAUUAAAUCUCAACCCAUUUAAUUUUCCCCUACCCACCCAUUGUAGUGAACAUGAUCAAACCCAAUUAGAAGACCCAUUAAAAAUAAUUGAUUGAAACUUUCUCCCCUAACCCCAAGCCUCUUUCUUCUUCCCUCUUUUCUUAUUCAAAAAUUUCAAGAUAAUAUUCAAUCAAAUAAUACAAUUUCCGCUGCAAUACUAACUUGAAGUUGAAGGAUUCAAGGAGUAUUGAUUUUUGCAGUCUUCUUUCCAUCACGUAAAAAAAACUACACCAAAAUCUAUCAAAAUUGCACCUGAGCUAUAACAAAACAGAAGCAAACCUGCACCUAUAUUAUACCACAAACUAAAUCAAAACUGUAAAGAAACAGAGGCCAAAAGGCAAUGAAAGUGCACCAUAAUGAGAUUAAAAACUGGACCAAAAUUUGAUGAUAAACAGCACCAAAGCUGGUCCAAAAACGAAAAUAAAAGUGGUUCAAAUUUACUUUAUUAACGAUGGAAUACAUUACAAUGAAAUUUACGAAUUAUUCCAACUCCUUAAACGUAAGAAUAUUAAUCAAACUAAACACAAUUUCACUAUCAUACCAACAAUAAUAGUAAUUAUAAUUAAGAACAUUAUACUAACUAGACACCAUCAACAAAUUUUCAUAUCAUACACUUAUCUAGAUUGCAUUGGACAUUGUAUCAUUUGAUUGAAAGUAGUCUAGAAAUAUUUUGAAUAAGAAAAGAGGGAAGAAGAAAGAGGCUUGGGGUUAGGGGAGAAAGAUUCAAUCAAUUUAUUUUUUAAUGGGUCUUCUAAUUGGGUUUGGGUCAUGUUCACUACAAUGGGUGGGUAGGGGAAAAUUAAAUGGGUUGAGAUUUAAUUUAUCCAAUAGGAAAAUGACAUGUAACAAAUAAUAAUAAUAAUUUUUUAAAAAAAAGUGAUUGUUAGUUUUAAGGGUAAAGAUGGACCAAAAAAGUGGAUGGAGGGGUAUUUUUUAGCCCAAUAGAUGAAUGAGGUAUAUUUUGUCGAGGGGGUUCGGGUGAACACUCUCCCUCCCUUGAUUUGCUCAUUGAUACUAUUAUUGUUAGUGCAAGAGGAAACUGCUAGGGAAGUUGCCUAUGAUCUAUGUUGGAGCAGAUGGGAUAUAAGAUUUUGAUUUGAUGGGUUCAAUUUUUAGAUUCUCAUCAUUGAGCCCGUUAUACUUUGAAAUUAUGGUGGGUUCAUGAUAUUAUAUUAUUAAUUAAAAUUUUAGUGAUUUUUCACAUAUACUUUUAUGAUCUGUGUCAAAAAUGCAAAGCUUAUACUUAUAUUCGCCAUCCGCCCUGUGUAACUGAACAUAUUACUGUUUAUCUUCCAUGUAGCAGUGAUCCUAAAACCUUUCCUUAUNNNNNNNNNNNNNNNNNNNNNNNNNNNNNNNNNNNNNNNNNNNNNNNNNNNNNNNNNNNNNNNNNNNNNNNNNNNNNNNNNNNNNNNNNNNNNNNNNNNNGUUAUUCAGCUGAAGAGGUUAGUUUUACCUUAGAAUUGAUCUUGUGAACAAGAUCAUCAUAGUUUUGAGAAGUUGGGCUAUGUGCUAUUGGAAAUGGAAUAAAUUCGUAAGGGACAUCAUAUUUCAAAGAUAAGAUGACUUCUUUGAAGACAUCUGGCCCUAAACCAGUUGUAAUUACUGCUUGUGUCGUUGGAUCUCUUUCCACUUUAAUGAAUUGCUCCAGCCCUCCUUUGUCUGGAACUCCAACCCUUAACUUCUUCCCACUUGUGGGUAUUUCCCAGCCUCUCGGAACAAUAGUAGAUUCACCAGGCCAAAUGAUGACCCCUAGUUGCUUAUUAUUAGUUUUAGCUGUUUUACCAUUCAUCUUCAGUUUAUGCGAAAUGCCAUCCUUCUCUGUCCAGAAUCCAACGACUUUCUCUCCUUUCCCGAUUAUAUUCACAAUCUGAUAUGGGUACGGCUGCAGUUCUCUAUCAAUGAUACGGAAAUCACCACUUAGUCCUGGUUUUAGCUCUGUGUUUUGCAUAGAGUCAAUGAGCAGAGAUCCCACUUCUGAGGUUCUAAGUGCAUCUAGGUCUGUUAAGUUCUCUCUAGUGUCUGGUUUCUUUAAUUUUGGGAUAGCAGUAGUGCCCACUUUCUCUACUGCUUCUGCUAAUAAGGUGAUGCUAUCAUAUGCCCAUAGCCCGAAAACAUUGAGUUCUACUUGGUCCAUGUCUGGAUACUCUUGACGAAAUCUCUUUCUCCAUCUCUUGGUGAACAUGUCAAGCUCAUUUGAUCUUGUAACAUAAGAUUUUACACCCAGAACACCUUGCAUUGAUGACUCAAUUACUGAAGUAUCUACCAGGUUCCAUAGGGGCUUUCCUCAUAGAUUACUACAACCUCCCUCCAAUUAUAGUUUUUAACAAUUGCUGCAAUGGCUUUAGUCUGACUGGAAGAAGGAAGUGCUCCUCUGAUGAAGAAGGGAUUUUCCUUGACUGUAAGUAAAGGACUUGUUGCUGGAGAAAUUAUAGGGACUUUUACUCUGUUCCCUAAGUCGAUCACAAAAUCAGUUUGAGUAGACAUUUGUGGCCCAAAGAUAGCUUGCACUUGGACAUCCUUUAGCAAGUAUAUGGCUGCACAUACACAAUCAGACUUAUAAGUAAUUGUCUGAACAUCUNNNNNNNNNNNNNAAAUUUAUUUGUGAAAUUUGCAUAAAUAGCAAUCUUUUUUAUUUUAAGAUGAGUGGAACUUUUUUUUUUUUUGGCUUUUUCUAAUUGUUAAUCUUAUAUAUUUUUUAAAUUUAUUUGUGAAAUUUGCAUAAAUAGCAAUCUUUUUUAUUUUAAGAUGAGUGGAACUUUUUUUUUUUUUGGCUUUUUCUAAUUGUUAAUCUUAUAUAUUUUUUAAAUUUAUUUGUGAAAUUUGCAUAAAUAGCAAUCUUUUUUAUUUUAAGAUGAGUGGAACUUCUUCUUUUUUUUUUUGCCUUUUCUAAUUGUUAAUCUUAUAUAUUUUUUAAUUUAUUUGUGAAAUUUGCAUAAAUAGCAAUCUUUUUUAUUUUAAGAUGAGUGGAACUUCUUCUUUUUUUUUUUGCCUUUUCUAAUUGUUAAUCUUAUAUAUUUUUUAAUUUAUUUGUGAAAUUUGCAUAAAUAGCAAUCUUUUUUAUUUUAAGAUGAGUGGAACUUCUCUUCUUUUUUUUUUUUUGCUUUUUCUAAUUGUUGAUCUUAUAUUUUUUUAAUUAAUUUUUAUUUGUGAGGUUUGCAUAAAUAGCCGAAGAGGUUCAAACCCACAACUCUAGCAUGGGAAAGCAUUCCCAAGACCCCUUCCUUACCACUAAGCCAUCAAUUAGUUUUGCUAAGGGGUUCACAAGUUAAUAUACAUAUAUAUUUAUUUAAUUUUUUAAUACAAGUAUAGAGUUUACAUAAAAGCUAUUGGGUUCGCCCGAACCCCCACUAAGAUAGGCAUAAAAGUAUCAAUACAUUUAUUUUUAUGAAGGUAAAUACCAUUAGAUGUAACUUUUCAAGAAUGAAAACAUGUAUUAAAACAAAACUGAAAAGAGUAAUAACAUAAGUGAGAAAAAAAGACAAGAAAUGUAGAGAGACAAGAGAGAGUUUUCUUAUUCUUCCAAGUAUAUUCAAGUGUUUUCCAAAUCUUCAAGUGCAUAAUACAAUCUCAAGACCUCUAUUUAUAUUGUUAUAAAAAGACAUACAAAGAGAUAACAAUAAACAUGAUAUUAAUUUUUGAGAAUGUAGGGAAGAUCAAGGGGUGUAGAAGAUAAAUGAGGAGAUGGUGAAGGUGUGAGUAUUAUUACAUAUAAUGGUGAAAUUACACCUUGAAGUUAUGGACAUCCACAUUAAUAUAAUAUAUUUACAACAAAACAUUAAUUACAUAUAAAUUAUAACUAAAUUAAAAAUGAUGAGAAAAACAUAAAAAUGCCCCCAAAAAAGGAGAAAAAAAUUAAAUAUGAAUAGAGAUCAUAGAGAGGUGUCACGUCACUUUGUCUAUAUCUAGCUUUAUUUUUAUUUUAUAUAUAUAUAUAUAUAUAUAUAUAAGAAUAGAGGUCAUAGCCUAUAUCUAGCUUUAUUAUAUAUAUAGAUUUUUCUUCAGUUUUUGUUGGUUUUCUCUUUUUAAAUUUAUUUAUGUAAUACGUAAUAAUAAUAAUAAUAAAAGAGCCUUAUUUUCCCCCAAUUUUCAUUGGUUUUUUCUUUUUUAAAAUUUAUUUAUGUAAAUAUAUUCUUUUUAAAAUUUAUUUAUGUAAUUUUAUUUUUUUUGGAAUAUUUUUAUAUCUAUUAUAUUUUUAAUAGCUCAAAAAAUAUUAAUUCAAUUGAAUGAAAAGAGAAAAUCGGGUUAUUUUAAUCAAAAUUGAACAAUUUGAGUUGAUUUGGGGCUUUCCGUCAAAUGAGGGGUAUAUAUGGUGAAAUUAGUAACGGUAGGGAAAAAACUAACUUCACUUUAACGGUAAAAGCAUAGUUUACCAAUAAAACAAAAUUAAGGGGUGUUUUUGACCCUUUUCCCUUAUCUUUUUCAUAGGUAGCAGUGGAUACUGGAUACAUUUGUUAAAGUCAUAUACUCAAUAAUAUAGUAAUUUUUGUUUAUAUUUUUUAUGAACUAAUGAAAUUGCAAGAAUUAUCACUUAAUAAGCGAGUUUUCAAUUUUUGUUCUUCAACGGUCGAAUUUAUAUCUAGUAAAAUAUAUAUUCUGUAAAGGAGAAAAGUCAUGUAAGGCAUAAGUUGCGGAUAUUAUAAUGCAAGUAUGUAUAUAUAUAUAUCAGAAAAUAAUUUAUCUUGAACACAAAAAUUAAAAAUUAGCACAAAAUAAGGACAAAAGUGCAAUAUUUGUAUAUAUAUGUGUUAUCUGAAAGUUAUUUAUCUUGAACACAAAAAUUAAAAAUUAGCACAAAAUAAGGACAUAAGUGCAAUAUAUGUAUAUAUAUGUGUUAUCAGAAAGUUAUUUAUCUCGAACACAAAAACUAAAAAUUAGCACAAAAUAAGGUCAAAAGUGCAAAAAUUUUAUACUUUCGCUCUCCCGACUCAAGCUAAUACGUUAAAAAUUAAUGGAAAAAUUAUACAAAAUAGUAAAUAUUUAGCCUGUAUUAGGUGAUAUAGCUAUAGUUUUAGAAAAUUGUAAUUUGCGGCUAUAAUUUUUUCAAUUCUUGCUAUUGACCUGAUUUGUAUAAUUCGCAUAAUUUGUAUAAAUCUAGAAUUUGUAUAAUUCGGUUCCUGAUAGUAAAAAUCCAGAAUUUUGUAUAUGUUUACCCUAGUUAUUUGUAUACGAUUUAUUAUUUAUAAUAAAUUACCUUGUUUGUAUAUUGACAAGCGAAAUAUAUAAAUGGAGUUCUGAAAAAUUCAUAAAUGUAUAAUACAUAAUUUGUAUAUAUUUAUCCUAUUGGUAUAUUCGCAAGCGAAAUAUACAAACCACAGCCUCCAUAUCAAACAGAACUAUAGCUAUGGAGCGCAGUUAUUAGAGCUUUAUUAUGUUUGCUAUUUCUAAAAUUUUCUCAAAAUUAAAAUAGACUAUGUUUUUCGGUCUUAUUUCAAUAGGCUCAUAUGGUAUAUAAUUUGAAAGCCUAGGUUUUUUUUGUUUUUUUAUAUCAAUAUUCUUUCAACUUAGCCGAUUGACAAUUAAUUAAAUCGAUGACAAAACUAUUGAUUUCGUAAAUUUGAGUGAUGAAAAUCAAAUUAGAAAAGUAACUAACAAAUGAAAUAUUUUAUGUUAGUGAAUGAAUGAAAUUAUAGGCUUCUUAAUUACAAGAUUUGGAUAAUUUUCUUUCUUUUGAAUUAAUUUUUAAAGUGUGAGUUGUACUCAAAAUCUAAUUUAACAUGACAUUAAAGACAAACCUGAUGUGGGCUCCCAGGAAACCAAACAAUUGCGGAGGUGGAAAUUAUUUUCUAUUCAUGAAUGUGAGCAUGUGACACACCGAAUUGGAUCAUGAAAUCUCAUAUAAAGAAUUUGGAUUUGUACGGUAUAUAUGAGGAUAAUAAUGAAAGAAAUGUCUCACAUCAAUGAUAAAUAAAAUCCUAAGCUUCGUUGUUCAACAAGUGAAUUCAAAUUUUUAGAUUCUUUAAUAUCUUGAUGUUAAACUAAAAAAUAUUGGUUUAUAAUUACUCUUAAUUAUUUAAUUUUUUGUCGGUUUGCUUCACGGGUGAGCAUGUAUAAUUAAUUACUAGUGUACUUGUCCGCGCUUCGCGUGUGUAUAAGAAAAUAUUAAAUAUAUUUUUAAAUAAUUAAUGCCAUUAUUUGAUAAAUAUUCUUAUAAAUAAUAUAAUAAAAGGGAGAAAUACAAAUUAAGUUACGAUUCUGAUAUUAUCUAUUCAGAAAAAUUGUUAAAAAAGUUUCAUGCUACAGUUUCAAUUUAAAAUUGCUGAUAAAAAAGAUGAAAAUAUAAAAAUUGAUAUGAAAAGCUUUAGUUAAAUAAACAAUCUAAUUAUCAUAGUUUCAUACUAAAUUUCAUGAUUUUAUAGCAAUAUUAUUGAUUCAACCAUUAAUAUUAAAUCUACUUUAUCGUAAAUUAUGUGACUUUUCUUUUUUUGUAUAAAUGACUAUAUAAUAGAAACAAGAAAAUCAAAAUAUAUUUGUGCUAAAAUCAUCGUGAGGGAAAAAAUAUUUUGAAUUAUAUUCGAACAUAGUUAUACACAAAAUUCAAAAGUUAGAGAUUUUUUUUCGAUAUCCGAUGCUCAUUUUUUUUUUGAUAUCCGAUGCACGUAGUGACACUCAUUUGAUACAUAUUUGUGUCGCAUAAGAUCCAUUAAUAUUUUAAUUUAUAUUUAAACUUUCAUUCUUAUAGUGUGCAUUGUGAAAAGAGAUACUUAAGUUGCUACAGUGAAACAUUACCGUUGAGGUUAUACUUUUACAAUAAAAAUAAAAUAAAAUUAAACACAUAAUUUUGUCGUAUUAAGAUUAUCAGAUAGCGAUGAAGAAAUAUUUUUUUUUAAAAAAAAAUGAGUAUGUAGUGUUCAAGAUGUAGAAAAAGUAUCAAGAGUUAGAUAAAUUUUUUCAAUUUAUAUAUAUAUAUGGGACAAUAAAAGUUUAACAACAUCAAAAUAAUUAUUCCUAUUAUUACAAUAUUAUUGUUGUAAUUAUUAUAAAUAAAUUGGAGCAAUAACUCUCCAAAAGAUAACUCCAUUUUUUGUAUGUGGGAAAAUAAAAUAAUUUUUUUACUUUUCAAUAAUAAUAAAUUUUAAACACAAAUUUGUUAUUAAGAGAAUCAAAUGAUGAAAUUUAAAAAAUUUACUUGAUAAAUAAGAGAGUUGAAUAAAUUAUUUUUUAGUAUAUAUAUAUAUACACACACACUUGAUUAUUUUUAGGGAAAAGGGUCAAAAAUAUCCUCAAUUUUAGUUUAUUAGUUAAAUAUACCCCUAUCGUUGAAACAAAGUUAUUCAUACCAUCACCGUUACUAAUUUCUCCAUUUAUACCCCUCAAUUGACGGAAAUCCCUAAAUCAAACAAAAUUGACUCGAUUUCUUAAAAAAUGACUCAUUUUCCAUUUUAAAACCAUGUCCGACCCAUCUAUCUAUCUUAAACCCAAAAGAAUUUAACCCAUUUUCUAUACCCAUUCUAAAAAGAAAAUUCAUUUGGAGCUACUUCUCCAAUUGCGUUUUAGGUGACAAAAAAGUGUUGAAAUGUAAAAAGAGUGACUCUAGUUUUAAUUAUUAAGUGUAGGUGACAAAUUUUUAAUCAAUUUUUAACAAUAAUUAAAUAAGUCCUCAAGUUUUUGUUUUUACACUUUCAUUUUUUGGAGCAAUAAUUUUGUUNNNNNNNNNNNNNNNNNNNNNNNNNNNNNNNNNNNNNNNNNNNNNNNNNNNNNNNNNNNNNNNNNNNNNNNNNNNNNNNNNNNNNNNNNNNNNNNNNNNNNNUGACUUCAAAGACAUUGUCGAGCAGCACCUAAACACACAAAAAUCGAUCCGAUCUAAGCACUUUUAGACGAGUAUGAUGACUCUACUAAUGGAGGAAAGAGAAGAAGGAGAGUGGCAUCGUGGUCGGCCAUGGCCGUUUCCGAAGCAAACCGUUGUCGCCGGAGCUCGAAGCAGACAAUUGGAGAGAAUCAAAGACAUAUAUUUUACCCAAAUAAUUACAACAAAAAAAAUUAAACCAAUAAAAGAAAAUUCACAACCCCCACCCCCUGUAAUGUCUUCCUCAAAGAUCCUACUCAUUUGCAGAAACAUCUGCACACCCCAUCCUUCCCUCUAAUUUUUUUCUCCAAACUCUUCGAUUCGUUUUAGUGCGCACACACCUACACACUAUUUCUUUUUUCAUCAUUUUAGAGUAGUAUCUUUAUUCACUAUUAUUAGAAUUUAACUUUGUAAGGGAAUUGGUGAGAUAGGUAAAUGUGCUUCUCACAAAGAUGUCUGCUUUUUGCAGUCAUGAGAAGAGGCAGCGAUGAUGAUGUUCACUUUUUGAGUUAGCUGACUCUGGAAUUUGGGGAAAAUAAUUUAAAAGGAAGAGUAAAAAAAGUUUGUAGAAAUGGUGACUAAAGGGCAAGGAAAAUGAGUUAAAUUAUUUUGGGUUUAAGAUAGAUGGAUGGAUCAGGCAUGGGUUUAAAAUGGGGGAUGGGUCAUUUUUUAACAAAUCGGGUCAAGUUUGUUUGAUUUGGGGAUUUCUGUCAAUUGAGGGGUAUAAAUGGUGAAAUUAAUAACGACGAGGGUAUAAAUAACUUUGUUUUAACGGUAUGGGUAUAUUCAACUAAUAAACUAAAAUUGAGGGGUAUUUUUGACCCUUUUCCCAUAUUUUUAUAAUGCCUUUAUUUAUAGGAUAACAAUAUAAAAUAUCAAAUGAUAUCAUGAACAUGACUAUUAAUAUGAUUUAAGAGAUAUGAUCAAGUCAUGAAAGUAAGGAAAAUAAAGACAAUUAAAUAUCAAAUGAUAUUAUGAACAUAAUUAUUAAUAUAAUUUAGGAGUUAUGAUCAUCAAAAGUCAUGAAAAUAAAAACAAUUAAAAUUUUCUAUUAAAAAAUAUAAAUAAAUGAAGGAAUAUAAUUGACAUAUUCAGUUUUGUACAACAAUAAGAUAUAUAUAAAUAAGAAAAAUUAUCAAAAAAUGAGAAAAAAAGAAGAUAAAUAUGAUUCUUGGCCAAAAAAAUAUGUCACGUCACUUUUCUUUUAUCUAGAUAAUUUAUAUGUUGGUAAAAAAAGUAGAUUGAGAGAGAAAAACAAUUUUACUAAGUCGUUUAUAUCCUAAUCAAAUACUUUUGCAUUUUGAGUUCAGACCAGGUCAUAGCAGUAAUUUCUGAAAUUUCAAAAACUUAAGAACUUAUAACAAUAACAAUAAAAAAAAUUAAAAUAUGAAGAUCACAAAGUUACGUAUUAAUAGUUAAAAAAAAUUUAUGAAUUAAACUGUAUUUUGAAAAUUAAUUAACUUUAACAUUCUCAUAUUCUAUCAUUCAUCUAUUGGGCUAAAAAUACCCUUGAAGUAUUAGAAAAGGUCUAAAAAUACCCCUCCAUCCGCCUUUUUGGUCCAUCUCUAUCCUUAAAACUAACAGUCACUUUUAAAAAAAUUAUUAUUAUUAUUAUUUGUUACAUGUCAUUUUCUUAGUGGAUAAAUUAAAUCCCAGCCCAUUUAAUUUUCCCCUACCCACCCAUUGUAGUGAACAUGAUCAAACCCAAUUAGAAGACCCAUUAAAAAAUAAAUUGAUUGAGAUUUAAUUUAUCCAAUAGGAAAAUGACAUGUAAUAAAUAAUAAUAAUAAUAAUAAAAAAUUAAAAAGUGGUUGUUAGUUUUAAAGGUAGAGAUGGACCAAAAAAGUGGAUGGAGGGGUAUUUUUAGCCCAAUAGAUGAAUGAAUGGUAUUUUUAGACCUUUUCAAAUAAUUCAAGGGUAUUUUUGGCCCUUUUCUGUAAUUAAUAAAAAGUUGAUCCACAUAACUAUAAAAUUAUAUCUACAUACUUUCUUCAGUAGCAUACAUAUACAUGUAUAAGGGUGUAUAAAACCGAAUCGAAAACCUAACCAAACCGCAAACCGAGUCAACCCGGAAAAAAAACCCGAACUAGUGGUUUGGUUUUUGAAAAAAAAAACCCCGAACUAUAUUUGGGAUUGGUUUGGUUUUAACUAAAAAAAACCAACCCGACAUUAUAUAUAUAAUUUUAAAAUUUUAUUUUAUACAUAAAAAUAUUUACUUUGAUAUAAUUUUUAAAUAUUUCUUAUACUUUUUCAUAAUUUUUUAUCUUUUAUUAUAUUAUUUCAAGUUUUGAAACUUAGAAUUAUGAAUGGGCCAAUAAAAAUUAUAGUUCACAGAUGUUGGUAAUUGCCUAAUUAUAAUAAAGCUUAAAUCAAAAUUAAAUUAAUACUAAUGCAAAAAUAAAAUCAUUUCAACACGACAAUAAUAUUGAAUAUUUGUUCUUUAGUUUUACAUUGGUUUAGACAAUUAAAAUACAUAACCUAAUUUAAUUUCCUUUAAAUAUUUAGUCAUGUAACUAAUACUUAUUAAAUUUAUUUUUAGCAUGCUUUAGUACUUUUAAAUUAUGAUCAUUUUCAUUAUGACUUGUUAAUUUGCAAUAUUUGUUUUACACGAUUUCAUUAUUAUUAUUAUUUUUGUUGGAUAUUUUAGUGUCAUUAAUCAUAUUAUAUUGUAGUAUAUUUUUAAGAAACAUCUUAGAUAGUUGUAGUUUGGUAUGGCUAAAGAAAUAUUUGAAGUACAAGUAAAUUAUAUGUUUGUAUGAAUACUUUACCGAAACAACCCAAAAAACCGAAAAAACCUGAAAAACCCAAGGUUGAAAAACCCGAGUUUUAUUGGUUUGGUUUAUAAAUAUAAAAAUCCAACACAAAUGGUUUGGUUUGAUAUUUGAAAAACCCGAACCAACCCGACCAUGUACACCCCUAUACAUGUAUAUGUUAACUUCUUAUUCUACUUUGUUGAAUUAUAUCCUCAGCAUAAGUAGUGAAGACAAAACAAAGUAAUAAUAAAAUGACGGAAUGACCUGGGAGACCCAUGUACUUAGCUCCGUUUGUAAGUUGAACCCUCCUACUUAUCAAUUUGUCAACUGAACCCCUAAACCCAUCAGAACACAAUAUUUUAAACCCAUUUGACCAUUAACCGAACUUAUGUAGCAUUGAUAAUGCUGAGUUGGAAAAUUACGUAAUUACAUACGUUUGACAGUGAGUAAAUAAGGUAUUUUACAUUAAAAAUAUUUAAAUAAUAAUAAUCAAUUUAAAAAAAAUAAUUAAAAACCCAUCUUCCUCAACCAUCCCUCUCCAACCCCACUCCACCCCUCUCUCCUCCGUCCGAACCCAUAAACUCAUCAUAACACAAUAUUUUAAACCUCUUAGACCAUUGACUGAACUUAUGUAGCAUUGAUAAUGCUGAGUUGGGAAAUUACGUGAUUACAUGCGUUUGACAGCAAGUAAAUAAGGUAUUUUAAAUUAAAAAUAGAGUAAAGACAUAAAUACACCAUCAAAGUUGUCCCGUAUUUUCAUAAUGACACCUUAACUUUUAAAGUGUCCUAUCACACCACAGAACUAUUUAAUAUCUUUGUAAAUGGGCCAUUUUGACCCAUUCCCUCGUCUAUUUAGUGGCGCGUGUUGCUCACUCCCUAUGAUGAGAAAAGACCCGACCCGACCCUGUUCUUUGAAGAAAGUCAUUUCUCCUUUUCUUUUCUUAUUUCUCAACUUUCCCUAAAAUCUAAAGAAAUAGAAAAGUUUUCUCAACAACUUUAAGUAUGAGUGAAAUAGGUCUAAAAAUAGAGGAGAUUAGAUAAAGGAUUCAAUCCAAUUACUUUGGAAGUGGGUCCUGAAUCUUUGUUGCAUCAUUGCAGCUUCGAGGGAUCCUAAGUUUCCAUACACUAAGAACCAUUGAUUCUUAGGUGAAGUAAUACAAUGGCCGGUUUAAAACACGGGGCAAGAUCUAGUACAGGUGUAAGGGUUGAUUAACAUAUUAAGCAUGCAUGGAUUAAUACUUCUCUACACCGCAUAGAAUCUCAAUUUCCAGGAGCACACAACAUGAUGGAAGCGGAGCCCUCCCCAUUGGACAAAAUGAAAAAAUAAAUGUUAAUGCUGUUAUACCCCAUUUUAACUCGAGGUCAAAACGGUGUACGACAUUUUGGUGAUUUCCAAAUUAAUUAACUUAAGAAGUCGCCACCUAAUUAAUUACGGUGAAUUAGGACACCUAAAUAUUGAACUAAGUAAUACUAAAAUGACUUCAAUUAAAAGGUCUACUAAACUUAAGAUUCUAGGUAAGGGUUCUAAUUAUCCUAAAGGGAAGGGGUAAGGCAUCCUUUAAGAUCCAUUAAAGACGGUUACCGGCCAAACUUAGGUUAAUUAAUUUUAAAAGAAAGAUAUGAGUGUUAAAUAUUAAGUGAUUGAAUAACCAAGUUGGAAAACAUUUUUUACUUUAAAAGCACUUUUGCAAUUUAUUAGAAUGAAAAAGAUUUAAGAAAGAGUAAUUUCUUUAGAUCAAUUUAGACAAAUUCAUGGCUAAAAAAAGUAAUUAAAAAAAAAAAAAAAAAAAAAAAAGCAUUUGCUCAUUAACCGACAAGAUGCUCUCUUUAGAAAAAGUUUAAGAAAAAUAAGAGUUUAGAACAAUAUAUUUUUUCUUUGAAAGAUAUUGCCAAGUUUGAACAAAACUUAAUAAAUUAGUGAGUUUAAAAUGGUGCAAAAGAAGUGUUUUAAAAAAAAAAAGCUAAAGUAACUAUAAAGGUUGUUUCUAACUAAAGGUACCCAAACCCAAACAUCUAUAUUAAGUCAACUAUUAUGAAUCCGAACUAGAAAUAUAUAAAUCACACAAGCAAGUAUAAAUUGAAAGAAAACACAAACAAAUAAUGCAAAAUGUAAGUAGCGAUAGGUGACUCCAAGAUAGGACCACUUGUUUUGCUUGCAAUUUCGAAUGGUCAAAGAUGUAGUGAAGAUUCCAUGUGCGGGUGUGAGGAUAAUGUUGAGUCUAUGAGACUCGGUAAUUUGCUAGAGUCUUGAAUCAAAGACUCCAUUUUGCUCCAAAGUGUACAUGUAAAUAAAGAGAGGGUAAAAAAGAAUUGGUAAGACAAUUAAACCUUACUCGAUAUCGAAUAAACUAGAAAUAGAAUUGAGUUAAAUAGCAUAACGAAAAUACCAUCCAAAACAUGAAAACAUGCAAAUGCGAAACAAAUCUCAAAGCAAACUACUACGACGCCUUUAAGGCACAAAAAAAAACAAUACACAACCCCUCAUAUUUAAGCUACAAACGAACUACUCGUUAAAGACUUGAAUUUAAAAAAAAUACUUAUGCCAUAAGUUUUCCAGAUUUAUACAUGCUGUAAUACUAUUACUUAAACUAAAAAAAAUAAAAACAAAAUACAUACACAAUACAAUUAACAAAAGAGCACAAAACAUAAGUUAGUACUUGUAUGCAAAAAGUAAGUUGCACGAGAAUUCCUACAGACGUAACUCUUAAUAAGAGAGCACUUAGUUGCUAACCAUUUUUUAUAUAUUUUACAGUCAUCUUCCUUAAGCAUGCUAUACAUAGGAAAAUAUGAACAUUGAAAUUUUAACAUAUAAGCACACGAAAUAAAUCAUUUAAACUGAGAACGAAACAGCAACAACACAACCCAUAUAAAUCGAACUAUGAGACUAAGUCAUUAACAAAAUAUUUAAAUCCAAAGCUAAGCCAUUCUUUAAACUCAAGGUCUAGUAAAUGAGGGGAAAACAAUUUCUGAUCUGUAUAAAUCUCAAAAGGAUACAAACACAUUUUUUAACAAUCAACAUAUAAUAAUAGCGAACUAAAUAAUAUUAGUUCGAGUAGAAUUUGAGAGAAACUUAAAAGCUUAUAAGAUACAGGGUGCGAAGCUGCUGUAGUGUAUCCGCGAUUAGAGCUUAUAUUUUUUUAAAAAAAUAAUGAUAUGGUCUGUACCAUAUUUUAACUAAAACAAAACAAAUAUUAUAUUCCUUGAACACGUUUUUACAUAGGAAUGCAUACAUAUAUCAAAUGAUCAGAACUUGGAGUAAGAAUUAAUGUAUAUGACCUAAAAUACAACCAUUUCCAUGUAAUAAAUAAAUUUAUAUCUCAAACGAAAACACAAAUACAAUUAUCAAAUAACUUUGAAUACAGUUAAACUAGGCAGGAAUUACUCUCUACAUACAAAUUUGUUAGAGUAACAUAACAUUUUCCCACAGAAACAAAACAGAGGAAGAAAAAGAGAAUGUCACCUGCUAUAGGGCAGUGAACGGGGCUGUUUCGAUCAAAUGUCUAUAUUCGAACAAUAACGAACUCAAGGAAGCUUGAAACUUGAGUUUCGAUCGAGAUUUAAAGAAGGAUGCAAAGACAAUAUUUUAGAAAAGAAAAUAGUAGUUAAACAAUGCUAUGGUGCAAGGAAAAGCUUUUUAAGAAUGAAUGCCAAGGCUUCUAUGGAGGCUGAAAAAUCCUCUUUUUUUUUUUUGCUAAAGAUAUAAGGAUGUAUUUAUAGAAAAAAUUAGGGUUCUUCAUUGUGUUGAGCGGGAAUAGAUUUUGAACUUUCAAAUUAGUCAAAAAGUCUUCAAAUCCGACCGUUUGAAGCUUGAAACAGACAUCACGUGAUACCUUGGAGAAAGAGACAAGUUUUGCUUGGAAUGGACCAAGCAAAGUCUGUCCAUGGCUGAAGAGAAACGAAACUUUAGCCAAAAAUGGAGGAGAAAAGACAGACAUCGAGUAAAGAGAAAAGACCUAAAUGAUUUCGGGUCUUGAGCCAUUUUACUGAUGAAUGAACAUUGGGUUGGGCUGGUGCUAAAUUUUCUUUUGUGGGCUGAUCUGAAAGUUCCGUUGGGCCAUAUUUUGGAGUGGAUUUGGGCUCGUUUUGCUGGACCAAUUUUGGGCUGAAUUUUGAAGGUCUUUUCUCUUCUUUCUUUGUAUUAUUUUGGGCUUCUAAAUUAAUAAUUAAUACAAUAUCUAUUAUGAUAUGAUAACAACUAGAAAUUUACAUAAUAAAAAUAUCACUAAUAUAAAAUAUAUAUACGAAAUAUUAAAUAAUAAUUAAUUUAAUAAAUACGAAACUAGAAAUAAGAUGACGACAAUUGGUUAUUUAAGAAAAGAGAUGUAAAAAAGUGAUAAUAAUCAUUUCGAUAAUAAAAACCUAUAAUUUUAGUAGAUUAAUAGUUGUAAUAGUAAAAAUAGUUGUGAAAAGAGAUAAUUCGAUACAUUAUUAAUUUAGAAGCUUGAAAAUGAUAAAUUAGAAGAAAGGAGGGUCAAAAUUGGGUGUCAACAAUGUUCCCUUUGUUGUUUUCCUAAUAUUGGUAGUUGAGAUAUUGUUAGGAUAUUAUAGUUUUUCGUUGUUACAGGUUGAUCUUGCUUGGAAAAAACCAUGAAAUCAAAAAAUUAGGGCUAUUUUGGGUUUAAAAUUGGGGAAGAUGACAUAAAUUGAUUAUAUAAUUAAUAAUAAAGAAAGCUAAUGACACGUGGCACUUUUAAAUUGGUCCAUGGCAGUGAAAGCACGGAAUGACGCGCCUCACGUGCAUGGUAACAACCCAGACGAGGGAAUGGGUCAAAAUGGCCCAUUUACAAUGAUAUUAAAUAGUUCUGUGGGGUGAUAGGACACUUUGAAAGUUAAGAUGUCUUUAUGCAAAUACGGGACAACUUUGAUUGUGUCUUUAUGUCUUUUCUCUUAAAAAUAUUUAAAUAAUAAUAAUCAAUUUUAAAAAAUAAUUAAAAACCCAUCUUCCUCAACCAUCCCCCUCCCACCCCUCUCUCCUCCGUCUGAACCCCUAAACUCAUCAAAAUACAAUAUUUUAAAUCUCUUUGACCAUUGACCGAACUUAUGUAGCAUUGAUAAUGCAGAGUUGGAAAAUUACGUGAUUACACGCUUUGACAACGAGUAAAUAAGGUAUUUUAAAUUAAAAAUAUUUAAAUAAUAAUAAUCAAUUUUAAAAAAAUAAUUAAAACCCAUCUUUCUCAACCAUCCCUCUCCCAUCCUACCCCACCCCUCUCUCCUUCGUCUGAACCCCUAAACUCAUCAGAACACAAUAUUUUAAACCCCUUUGACCAUUGACCGAACUUAUGUAGCAUUGAUAAUGUUGAGUUGGAAAAUUACGUGAUUACACACGUUUGACAGAGUAAAUAAGAUAUUUUACAUUAAAAAUAUUUAAAUAAUAAUAAUCAAUUUAAAAAGGAUAAUUAAAAAUGCAUCUUCCUCAACCAUCCCUCUCCCACACCACCCUACCCCUCUCUCCUCCGUCCGAACCCCUAAACUCAUCAGAACACAAUAUUUUAAACGCCCUUGACCAUUGACCGAACUUAUGUAGCAUUGAUAAUGUUGAGUUGGAUAAUUAUGUGAUUACACGCGUUGUCAGCGAGUAAUAAGGUAUUUUACAUUAAAAUUAUUUAAAUAAUAAUAAUCAAUUUUAAAAAAUAAUAAUUAAAAACCCAUCUUCCUCAACCAUCCCUCUCCCACCCCACCCCUCUCUCCUCCUAUUUGUUUUUUUUUUUCUAAAAAAAAUUUUGGGCUUUGCCCGAGGAGAUGUAUGGGGUGCAAUUGUCUCUCUUUCAAGUUUAUUAAUAAAAAAAAAUACCACAAUUGUUUUAAAAAAAAAAAAAAAACACCACCCCUCUAUCCUCCGUACCCCCCCCCCUCCCCGCCUCUCCUCUUCUUCUUCUUCUCUUGGAAUUUCAUCCACCACACUCACUCUCCUUCAUCCACCUCCUUCUUAACCCACACUUCUUUUUCAUUACAAAUCAACCGUCCACCCUAACCACUUAGUCUAAAAGUCUUUUAGAUUCUAGCUUUUUAGUCUAAAAGUAUUGAGAUAUUAUUAGUUUUAUUUGGCAUCAAAAAAGAGGUCUAAGUAUGGAUUAACACGAAAGAUAAUGGUGGAUAUUGAAAAAUUAAAACUCCAUUGAUAAGUUAGAGAAAGCUUGAAAUUUAUAAGAUAUAUUAGAACUAUAUAAAAAAAAAUAUCACAUAUACCAAUCAAUUGUGUAUACUACAAACAAUUAUACUUCUCUUUCAAAAUUUAGUUACUCAAUAUUACUUGCAAGUUUUAGUAGCAUCUAUAUCAUUUAAUUUUUUUGUACUAAUUAACACAGGACACACAUGCAACGCACGUGCCUAGAGACUAGUUUAUAUAUGUACAUAAACUUAGAAAAUAUAUCCAAUAUAUACAUCUUAAUUUUUUGUCGAGGGGGUUCGGGUGAACACUCUCCCUCCCUUGAUUGGCUCAUUGAUACUAUUAUUGUUAGUGCAAGAGGAAACUGCUAGGGAAGUUGCCUCUGAUAUAUGUUGGAGCAGAUGGGAUAUAAGAUUUUGAUUUGAUGGGUUCAAUUUUUAGGUUCUUAUCAUUGAGCCCGUUAUACUUUGAAAUUAUGGGUUCAUAUUCUAUUAUUAAUUAAAAUUUUAGUGAUUUUUCACAUAUACUUUUAUGAUCUGUGUCGAAAAUGCAAAUCUUAUACUUAUAUUCGCCAUCCGCCCUGUGUAACUGAACAUAUUACUGUUUGUCUUCCAUGUAACAGUGAUCCUAAAACCAUUCCUUAUUUAUGAUCUGUAACUAUGGUCGUUAUCUGCUAAUAGCUUCGGAUGUUCUUGUCCUCUAGGCUAGUUCUUGGACCUGCAUUAUAAAUUCACUACUACUAUAUCUUUCUUUCUUAUUGCAUUUGGGAUUUGCAGAUUGCUCUUUGUUAUCAAAACAUUGCACAAAUCUCUCAUGUGGUCAUUCACAUAUAACCCCAUUAUUUCAUAUUCUAUAUAAGAAUUAUGUAAUCAAAAAUAAUUUAGCAUCUUAUUUGUAGAUUUUGUUCUGUUAUUGUAACAUAACAAAACUACCUCAUUUGAAUUUCUUGAAAACGGAUGCAUGUAUUGAAUUCUUUCAUGCCACACAUAUUUCUUUAAAUUAUUCCAAACAUAAGUACAACAACAACAACAUAAGUAGUGAUGAAAAAACAAAGUGAACAUAAAAUUGCUAAAGAAACAACUAAGAAAAAGUAAGGGUUGAAUCCAUCUAAUGGAAUCCUGGAGGCCACCUCUUGAUGCUAAUACAAAGCGCUUUCAAUGGUGAUGAAAGAGGAUUAUGGCCAAGAGUGACAAAGAAAUAGUGUAAUCGGAUUUAACUAACCCUAAAGCUAGCUCAUCUCUGUACAAUCUCUUGUAGGGCCCUAUUCAGGUGUGCCACAAUUAUGUUAGCAGCUAUAUAUCUCAUCUUUCUUCAAUUGUGCCUGACAUUGUUUCAUGAACUGGAGUUCCAGGUUCUGUUGUAGAGAACCCUUCAGAAGCAGGGGAUUCUCCUAGGCCAUCGGAGAUUCCGAUUUCUGGGCUUUCCAAAGGUAGGUUGGGCGAUAAUUCAAUAGAAGCAUCACUUUCUGCAAACACUGUAGCCGUUAGGCUUUCAUUCCCUUCAGAUGGCUUUUUUGACAUAGAAUUAGAGUCGUCUCUCUUUAAAUCAAAGACUUUUGCUAUUGCACAAAGCUUUUUUCCUAUUGAAUCAUCAGUGACUAAGAUUUCUCUAUUCUGAUAAAGGAAGAUGAGGAAGAAUAGGAGAAGAGAGGAGCCUGCUGACACACCAUCUUGCUUUGGACAAUCUGUUUCAAUAUCUUUCUGUGGACAAUCUGUUUCAUUCCCAAACCAUUUCUGAAUUAUGUUAUUCAUAGUCUCUCCCUCUAUCACCUUCAAGACUGCUCUUGAGACGUCAGGUACCAAAGGAGAUCCUUUUGGAAAUGCCUGCAACAAGUUGUGGGAAAAUUAAAGAUUAGAUCAUUGAGUAAACCACUAACCACUCUAAAACAAAUGUUAACACUUGCUGAAACAUCAGUUAAGUACAACAAUCUUACAAAUCCAAAGCCGGCAGCCUUGUAUGUCGGACCAACCAUAAUAUACUUCCUGCAGUAUUUGUUCAGCAAGAGUCUGAGAUAAGGUAGUUCAUCAACAAUUGCACCAACACCUCCAUUUUUACUACCUCUUGAGAGUGCAUCAUUAUACUCUUCCAAUGUGCUGUAACUCCUAAAUUUGGAGCUGUCAAAUUUCAUGCGUGUCAAGACGUCUUUGACAAAGGAACCUUUUUUAUCAGCACAAAUCUUGAUAAGUUACUUGUUAUCUUCUCUUCUGCAACAACCAGUCAUAUAUAGGAUUUGUUGAGAAACAAGGAGAAAUCUUAAACUUUUGGUCUAUAAUUUGAUUUGAGUUAGAGACUUACUAUGAGCAAAAACGAGAGUUGAGAAGGAAAACCAAAAUAUUAUCCCAACUUGCUUGCGUUUGGGUCCUCGAAAAUCUUUGUUUACACGAUGUUCGAGUACCCAAACCACAAAACCAAUGAAGACGAAGAAUGCUCCGGUUGCUAUCCACAGCUCGGCCUUUAAAGGUUUCAAGAAGAUCCAAGCGUUCUUCCUAUCAUCAUUCCUUAAAGGCACAACUGCAGAAAUACCCGACUCUGAAUAAGGUAAUGUGAAAUCUACAUACUCAGAUCGGCUUGCUAAAAUGGUAACAUCACCUACAACUGCAUCAUAUUCCUGGUUCAAGCAAACAUUGAUUAUUUAAGUAUUUAUUGUUGGUCGCUAAAGCAGAACAUAGAUAAGAAGUCCAAAAAAGGAGCAUGUAAGUGAGUUAUUCAGCUGAAGAGGUUAAUUUUACCUUAGAAGUGAUCUUCUGAACAAGAUCAUCAUAGUUUUAAGAAGUAGGGCUAUGUGCUAUUGGAAAUAGAAUAAAUUCGUAGGGGACAGCAUAUGGCAAAGAUAGGAUGACUUCUUUGAAGACAUCUGGAACAAAACCAGUUACAAUUACUUCUUGUGUCGUUGGAUUUGUUUCCACUUGAAUGAAUUGCUCCAGCCCGUCAGGAACUCCGACCCUUAACUUCUUCCCACUUGUGGGUAUUUCCCAGCCUCUCGGAACAAUAGUAGAUUCACCAGGCCAAAUGAUGACCCCUAGUUGCUUAUUAUUAGUUUUAGCUGUUUUACCAUUCAUCUUGAGUUUAUGCGAAAUGCCAUCCUUCUCUGUCCAGAAUCCAACGAUUUUCUCUCCUUUCCCAAUUAUAUUCACAAUCUGAUAUGGGGACGGCUGCAGUUCUCUAUCAACGAUACGGAAAUCACCACUUAGUCCUGGUUUUAGCUCUGUGUUUUGCAUAGAGUCAAUGAGCAGAGAUCCCACUUCUGAGGUUCCAAGUGCAUCUAGGUCUGUUAAGUUCUCUCUAGUGUCUGGUUCUUAAUUUUGGGAUAGCAGUAGUGCCCACUUUCUCUACUGCUUCUGCUAAUAAGGUGAUGCUAUCAUAUGCCAUAGCCCGAAAACAUUGAGUUCUACUUGGUCCAUGUCUGGAUAUUCUUGACGAAAUCUCUUUCUCCAUCUCUUGGUGAACAUGUCAAGCGCAUUUGGAGUCCAGAAAACUCGUUAGCACAUCUGUGAUGAUCCAUGCAUAUCCACUGCUCAUCAUCCCAGCUUCUUUGGCCUUGAGGAAAAGGCGUGAGGCAAGAUAUGGUUGUAAGUGCACAAUGAACACUGUGGUUUGCUUUGUAUUCAAAUUGUGUAACUCCUUGAGGAUUUGAUCAUCACUGGCUGAAGGAGAAAUAGCACUUUUAUAGGGGACUAAAGUGUUGAUUUCCAGUAAGGCAUCAGUCAGAUGUGGAACUAUCCCAGUUCCAAUGGAGCUAUCCUCGUGGAUGAUUACAACCUUCGUCCAAUUAUAGUUUUUAACAAUUGCUGCAAUGGCUUUAGUCUGGCUGGAAGAAGGAAGUGCUCCUCUGAUGAAGAAGGGAUUUUCCUUGACUGUAAGUAAAGGACUUGUUGCUGGAGAAAUGAUAGGGACUUUUGUUCUGUUCCCUAUGUCAAUCACAAAAUCAGUUUGUGUAGACAUUUGUGGCCCAAAGAUAGCUUGUACUUGGACAUCCUUUAGCAAGUAUAUGGCUGCGUAUACACAAUCAGACUAUAAGAAAUCGUUCCAAAGUGAAAAACAGACGAAAAGAGAGAAUGAUAUGCUAGUUUAACAGAAGUAAAUCAUGGAUCAGAAUAUACCAGCGGAUGCUGCUUCAACAUCAUCUUUCUUUGAAUCCCUGAUAUGAGGAACUAUCCUUAUGGCACCGCGACUAGUGUUGGCAUGAUAAUCUGCAAGAGCUAGUAAGAUAGAUAUGUGCAUUACUUUUCCCACAUCUGUUUCCAGAUCAAGAAUUAUGCCCACAUCCACCUUUACAGCACUAGUGUUAUUAUCUUCACCUCUUAUUCCAAUUACAUAGUGGCAAAAGCUAAUGAUGGAAACAAGUUGAAUGAAAAUAAUUAGGAAUUUGCAUCUUGGAUUAUGCAUUUGAAAAACUCUUGUAGAAAGUAAUAUGAGUGUUGGGCAAGAAGCAGUUGUGCUUGUGCAAGAUUUAUAACCACCAUUCAGAGAUGUGUUUAAAGGUAUCUUAACUAUAACUUUUCUACAAUUAAAUGAGAGCAAACCUCAUAACUGCAGAAAGAAAAGUCAAAGUUUUCAAAGAAUUACAAAUGGUUUAAAAUAUACUAGUUUGAUUAUUAAAGAAAGAGUACUUUGCACACUUGUUAGACCACAAGCUAGUAAAGCCUCCUCAGUUUUGACCAAAUCAAUAAAUGACUAAAUGAACAUAGUGACAAAAUUGAUUUGUACUCAUUCUCCCAAUACCCAAAGAAGUUUUUGUAUUCAUUGGAUGACUAUCUAGAGGCUACUAAAAGGACUUCCCAUAUUUUGGCUAAGUCAUGUUGAAAGUUGAGUGCUAACUCAGUUACAAAUAAGUAGAAGAGGUCAGUUUCUAUGACUUGGACAUUGGAAAAGGGCAGCUAUGACUAGUAAUCUUUAGUUUACUUAGACGGUUUCAGUUUAGAAUUGGUCAGUAGUAUAAAACUUUAUGGUGGUAGAGGCACAACUUGUAGGGUUGUUCCGGGUUAUCGUUAAUUAAAAAAUCAAAUCAAACUUGUAGGGUUGUUUGGUUAGGUUUUAAAUUUUGAAAAUCAAUACUAUUUGGUUUGGUUUGGUUUUAAAACUGUAAAAAUAAUCAAAUUGAACGUGUAAUUAUAAUAAUUCUAGUAUUGCUUGAUUGAAUCCACAGUAACUUUCAUGUGUAUUGUUCAUGUACUAGGUGUCUGUGUUUAUAUAUAUGUCUUCAAAAAAAUUAUUACUUCCAAAACAAAAAAACAAAAAAAUUGAACCAAACCGACAAUUAUUUUUUUCAUUUGGUUUUAGAAUUUAGAAACCGACUAAAUUGAUCUGGCUUUGAUUUUAGCCAAUAAUCAAUCCAAAUUGAACCAUGAACACCUCUAGGCACAAAUAUAACUUGGUAUGUGAAGAAUUACUAUAAUACCUUUCCUUUAACUUUUUUUUUUUAAAAAAAAAUCUCCAUCCUCCAUUUUUUUCCCUUCACUUUUAAAAAAAAAAAAAAAAACCUCUAUUGGGAAAUUUUUCAAAUCAGUUUUUUUUACUCAUGAGCUCUAUUCCUUUCCCUUUUAUAUUUUUUAUAAUAUAAAAUAUAAGAUAAAAUAAAGAAUUUUUUUAAAAAGAAAUGAGAAAAAAAAUGAUGAAGAUGAGGGGUGAGGAGCUAAAGGAGAGAAGAAAGAUAGAACAUAAGAUGAGAAAGGUAGGGUCCCCAUAUUUUCUUUAUCAAAAAGUAACUUCUUACCUACCAAAGUCAUAUUUAUGCCUCUACCACCACAAAUUUUUUCGUAUUAACUUGCUUGCAAGUUGCAAAACCAAACAAAGCAAGCAUACCCAAAUGGAGAUGGAAUCUUGGAAUGAGGAUGGUUGGGUAUACAUGUAGGUGUCAAUGUCAUUGUCUCAAUAUAUAUAUAUAUAUAUACUCCCUCCGUCCCAAUUUAUGUGGCACCCUUUUUUUUUAGUCUGUUCCAAAAAACAAUGUCAUCUUACUAUAAUUAGAAACAAGGGAAAAGACUCAAAUAUGCUAUUGAAAUUUGAGAAAAGACUCAUUUAUGUCAUCCGUUAAAAGUUUGGUUCAUCUAUGUCAUUUUCGUUUGAGAAAAAACUCAUCCAUACCAUUAGUUGUUAACUAAAAAUAAUUUUGGUUUUGUAAGAUCAUUUUAUACACAUGGUCAAUUAUGAUUCGGCCAUGUCAUCAAUUAAAUCAUUUCUAUAGAAGAGAAAAUGUUCAAAUAUGUCAUCGAACUUUGAGAAAAGACUCAUUUAUGACAUCCGUUAAAAGUUUGUCUCAUCUAUGCUAUUUCAGUUAAUAAAUAAUGGCAUGAAUGAGGUUUUUCUCAAAUGAAAAUGGCAUAGAUGAGCCAAUUUUUUAACGAAUGACAUAUAUGACAUUUCUCAAAGUUCGAUGGCAUAUUUGAGUUUUUUCCCUAUAAACAAUUUCACUUAAAAUUUACUGUUAUCCUUAAUGAAAUUAUUUACAAACACACAAAUAUCUAAGGAUUGUUUUAGAUCACAAGUUUAAAAGUCUUUUUAAAAUAUAUAUAUAUAUAUAUAUAUAUAUUGUGUCAAGUUAAACAGUGCCACAUAAAAUGAGACAGAGAGAGUAAUUGUUAAUGUAAGAGGAAGCUGCUCGGGAAGUUACGUGUAUGAUGUUGAAGUUAUUUGACAUGCAGUUGAGGUGAUCCUAUAAUCUUCCAUUAUUUAUGACUAGUAAAAUCACUGAAUUUAUAAAAUAAUACUUAAAACAUAUGAGUCAUUAAAACUAAAACACUAUAUUAUCUUACAUAUAAGAUUACAUAUAACAAACAUUAAUAAUGUAAGUAAUUUCUUUUUUGCAUAUGUUAACAAAUUUUUGAAUUUCUUCCUGAGACAUAUAUCACAAUUGUAAAAUCUAUACAACUUAAAUGUGUUCUUGUUCUUACGAAACGCCUUUGUGUAUAUAUAUUCUUAUUUAUUCUCUCUUUUUUCCUUUUAAUUGAUGAUUAAAUAACCAUUAAUUUAUUAUUUCCUAAAUAAUUCAUUUAUUAGAUGUUCUUGAGUUAUGUGAUAAUGACAAAUAAUAGUAUAGAUCUUUAAGGAAUUUUUUUACUGUACCUUCAACAAUUUCAUGAUCAGUAGAGAAAACUUGCAUGAAUACUCAAUUAACAUGUGUUGUUUAAUCUGUACUAACAAAUACAAUUAACGUGUGUUGUUUAAUCUGUACUAACAAAUACUUAUAACAAUAACUUUGCAGAAACAUAAACACAAGUUUAAAACAUGUACUCAAAAACAAUAAUUAAUAACAUAAGCAUAAAUUAAUGACUGUAAAAAAAUAUACCAGGAUCUGUAAUAAUAGGAUGAAACAUAAAGGAAAAAAUUGUACACGAAUAUUUAAUUGUGCAGGUUAAGAAGAAGUUCAAAAUUUUCGUUUUUUUAAAAUGAGAGGAAAUCACUCUAUUUAUAGCUAGACAACAAAGGGUAGUGUGAGCAAAUGUUUAUUGUGUCUUAUCGGAAAGGUCACAACUCUUUGGAAAAGUUACAAACCCUUUGGAAAGGUCAUAACCUUUCAUAAAAGACACAACUUUUCAUAAAAGUCGCAACUCUACAUAGAAGUUACAACUUUUCAUAAAAGUCGCAACUGUUCAUAUAAGUCGCAAUUUUUCAUAAAAGUCACAACUUUUCAUUAAAGUCGCAAAUUUUUAUAAAAGGGGAAGGAUAGUUUUGUAAAUAUAUUAAUUAAAAAAGGAAUCCUGGUUUGUGAUGGCGCCACGUAGGCAGGCCUAGGGUUCUCUUUUAUAUAUAUACUAGUUUCUGAACACGUGCGUUGCACGUGUUUCAAACAAGUAGUAUACACGAUAAAAGUUAUAUUAAAACCAUAGUGUAAUCAAUAACGAAAAAAAGGUACAAACUAAAAUUGAUGAACGUAACACUCAUCCAAUUUGAAUGACUUAUUCGUUUAGCGAUAAAUAAUUAAUUACUAUCAGAACUACAAAAUUGAAUAAUUAUAUUUAGUUAGAUAAGUAAAAUGUAUAAAAUGAGUCACAUUUUAAUGUUAUUAGGUGCAAAUAUUUUAUUUAUAAAGAAGUAUUAGUAUUAAAUAUUUGCACCUAAUAACAUUAAGUAUUAAAUUUCAAGACAUAAUAUUUGAAUAAUGAAUUGUGAUGCUCAUACCAAAUAGCAAAACAAUGAAUCUAGAAAAUACUUUUAAAACAAAAAAACUUAGAUAUGAUAUUUAAAAUAUUUAAAACUUCUUGUUAAAAUUUACAAAAACGCAAAUAAUAUAUGCUUAUUAAGAAUUUAAAACUAAUUGUUAUAAUCUUAACAAUUGUGCAUGGAAACAAAAGCACCCAAAACAAAUGAAAUUCCAAUACAUGUGAAAUCAAAGUAUUGUAAUUCUAAGUAACUAAAUAUGCCAUGCAUACUUCUCAUCUCUUCUUUUAUGCAAACUAUUAGAAGGCAUAAAAAAACAAUGAAAAUCGAAGAUAAAAUAAUUUGCAUUCAAUCUUAAAAAGUUACAAAGAGGAGAUGGGGAAAAUUAGUAAAACUCAUUUAACCUUUAUAUAAUGUUUUUCCCAGUCCUUUGAAAUUUCAUUUCAUUUAUUUACUAAUGAAUUGAUUUACUAAUUAAUAUUCAAUUCAACUUUUCAACUUCUUUGUACUUACUGUAGCAAUGAAAGGUUGGCUAUUGGUUAACGUAACAAUUAAAUAAUUGAACCACCAAUGUUUCAUAUAAAGUUAUGGUUAUUAUAAGUAUUAAAUGCAAACAUUUUCUUUUUAUUGUAUGAAAUGCGUGUAUUUGUAUUUUUAUAUUAUAAACUUUUUGAAAUAAUAGUUGCUUGAAGGUUAAAAUGAUGUUUAACUUUUAAUAGGCGAUUUGGUAAUUCAAUUUUUCAUUUGGAAAGUUUCUACUUGAUAUAAUAUGAUAAUGAUCAAAAAUUUAAUAUAAAAUGAAUAAAGCAAAGAAUAAACAGGGAAAGAAAGAAAGAUGAUUGUCAUCAAUCCCUAUUAAAUCAUUGAAUUAAGUGUGAUAAUUAAAGUAUUAUUACUCCACUUUCAAAUCAUCCGUUCAAUUCAUGUUAUUGAAAACUAAUUUAAUUGAAGAUUUAUUUUAAUUAUGGUGUAAAUAAAAAUUAGUUUAUAAAAAAUGAUUUAGUAUAAGGGCAAAAUGGUAAAUCAACUUUGAAGACAAGAGCUUCCCACUUUUAAUAAUACUAGAAGAAAAAUGUGAAUUACAUGGAGAUUUUUUUCUUGGAAUUAGUAUCAAAAUUCGCAGAUAACUUAUUUCCUGCAAAUUUUCAUAUUAAUCCCCAGGAAAAUCCCCAUGUAAUUCACCAUUUUCUUGUAGUGUUGUACCAAAUUAUAAUAAAAUAACAGUAAAGAAAAUAGGUUGUACCCUGCUUCUUGCACUUAACUUUAUCCCACGAACAAUAGACAGAAAGGUGUCAUAUAAUCCUUACAUAUCACUAUCAAACCAAAUUCUCCCAACUGACAUAUUCUCCCACAACAAUAUUAUAUUCCCUCAAGUCCAAUUUUCAUCAGUGACUCCGUUUCUAAUGUUUUCCAAUUCACUUUUUCGACCUCCUUUUCACUAUUCAUUAUAUAAUAAUUGAUAUGAAACAACCCACAAUGUAAACAAGAUUUAAGAGACGUGAUUGAUUUACUUGAGUCGCUCACGUUCUUCUUUCGUUCACGCCGCUUUCUGUUAUUCUUCUUUUCCGUUCUUUCCCUUUUCUUCUACAGAUUAUUUUCACCCUAAUUAUUAUAUGACUAAUUAUAAGAGUGGUGGAAUUGGCUCACUACUAGUUUUAAUGCUAUCUUCUUUAACCACCAACUACAUUAAUUAUUAAAACUACCCCACUAAUUUCAUAAUGUAAUUACGAAUAGUCCAAAAUACCCAUUUAGAAUCUAUCGAACGAGUCUUUUAUGAAAUAAAAAGAUCUAGUACUCAAAACGACUAAAUGGGUCGUUACACAAUGUAACUCUUUAACUUUCAAAAUGAUAGGAGGUGAAAAGGUGAAAACAUUUUCUUUUUCAAUGAAUACAUUCAUUAUACUAAUAAUUCACCAUUUAAUAAACUUCUACCUAAAAAUGUUUUUUAGCAUAAAACAUGUAGGAAGUAAUUUUAAACAGUAAAAGGUAAAGGGUUAAUUAGUUUCUCAUUUAAUUAAUUCGAUUCAUUUAUUAGUAUAGGUAAAUUUAUUAUUUAGUACCAAGUAGUAUAAGAAUAGUAUUAAGAUGAAGGGUAAAAAUGUAAUUUGAUUUUUUAGGAAUAUUUUGUAAUUCAAUUUUAUAAGUUUUGGGGCUUCCCACUUAAUAAUUAUUAUUUAUAAUAAUAAAAAAAAUUUGACUUAACACCUUUCCAUUAUUAUUAUAGAUUAUAGAUGAUAAAUAUUAAUAAAUUAGAUAUUUAAUUAGGAAUUAAUCUUAGGAAGUCUAAAAGUCAUUUAACAUUUUUAAUUUAAAACUUAUACAAUCAAAUAUUUAAAUAUUUUAUAACAAUUUAAUUAAUAGAAGGGGUAAAACUGUAAUUCAACUUUCAACUUUUUUUGUUCAUGCUUAUAGUAAUAUAUAUGAUAUGAUAUAUAUAUAUAUGAUUAUUUACUGUGGUCGUUUUCUGAUAUGAUCACAAUAAGAUAUAACCGUCUAUUAUCUUUUAAACUUGUUUUUCUUUUUAGUUUGCAAUAUAUUUUGGAUUGGUAACAUUAGUAGUAUUAAAUUGUUAACAGCACUAGUUUGCAAUAUUUUUGGUUUCUGCAAACAUUAUUAGCACAUAUUGAAAGAGAUAUAUAUGAUAUGGUUUCAUUGAAUUAUAUCCUCUACAUAAGCAGUGAAGACAAAACAAAGUACUAAUGUUAUUUAAAUUGUCUCUAAAAUUUUGAUGAUUUAAUAAACUUUGAGAUCUAAAGAACGACCAGAUUCCAAGAGAGAUUGAGAGUUCUGUUUAUGAAAAAAACAGCGGUCUAAAAGCAGCAACACCUGCUGUGGUUGGUGCACGUAUUUUGCAGCAGACAUUCAGCCAAUGGCAGGGCAUUGCUUCAAGAGUUUGGGUCCAUCCUAUAAUACACCUCUUUGACAUUGACACAAACUCAAGUUUUUGCAAUAUAAAAAUUCAUAACAGCAAAAGUCAUUCUCUCAAGGAAAUAUUUCUCGAUAAAUGAUAGAGUUAUCAUCGUUCUUAGGUGUUUUUAGGGCUUAUAUUUCUGUGCUUAUACUUGUAAGAUUUAUUCCUACGUUAUAAAGGAAUCAGAUCAUUUGAAGUUUUUUCUGAGUAUUCCGAGUUAUAGCUAGAGUUAGUUAUGUUGUAUUCUUGAAUUCAAGAUCAACUAUAGCUAGUUGAUUUAGUGGGUCAUAGAGUUAUUGCUUAGUUUUUGAGUAACAGAGUUGUUACUAUGAGGGGAAGGGAUUAAGAGUUUAAUUCCUAGGCUACAAGGGUUUGUAAUAUGAAGCUUUGCACUUUUGAUGAUAAUGGAGUUGGGUUAAAUCCUGUGAGACAGACCGUGGUUUUUCCUCCCUUGAACAAGGGGCAUUCCACGUAAAACUCUUGUAUUUGUUUUACUUUGUGUUAUUUAUUUUCCACAAUUUUUCUUUCAAGGGACUUGGUCCAUUGACCAUUAGUGGACGCAUACAUUCUAUGAGUAAUAAUAAGAUUGAAAAAGAAACCACUAAGAAAAAGUAAGGGUUAAAUCCAUCAAAUGGAAUCCUGGAGCCACCUCUUGAUGCUAAUAUUCUGGCCAAGAUCAGUAACAAAGAUAUAAUGUAAUCUGGUUUAACUAACCCUAAAGCUAGCUCAUCUCUGUGCAAUCUCAUAUAGGGCCCUAUUCAGGUGUGUCACAAUUAUGGUAGUAGCUAUAUGUGUCAUCUUUCUUCAAUUGUGUCUGUAAUGGUUUCAUGAACUGGAGUUCCAGGUUCUGUUGUAGAGAACCCUUCAGCAGCAGGGGAUACUCCUAGUCCGUCGGAAAUUCUGAUUUCUGGGAUUUGCGAAGGAAGGUCAGGCAAUAUCUCAGGAGAAGCUUCACUUGCUGCGAGCAGUGUAGGUGCAUUGCUUCCAUUGCUUUCAGAUGGCUCUUCUGACAUAGAAUUAGAGCUGUCUUUCUCUUCAUCAAAGACUUUUGCAAUUGCAGUAAGCUUUUGCCAUAUUGAAUCAUCAGUGGCUAAGAUUUCUCUAUUCUGAUAAAGGAGGAUGAGGAAGAAUAGGAGAAGAGCGGAGCCUGCUGAAACACCAGCUAUGAGGAAAAGUCCCUUAAAACUAUCUAACGUGAGGCUAUCAGAUGUUAUUGCCGUUUCAUCUUUCUGUGGACAAUCUGUUUCAUUCCCAAACCAUUUCUGUAUUAUGUUAUUCAUAAACUCUCCCUCCAUCACCUUCAAGACUGCUCUUGAGACGUCAGGUACCAAAGGAGAUCCUUUUGGAAAUGCCUGCAAUAAAAGAUUAGAUGAUUGAGUAAACAACAAAUCAUUCUAAAUAUAUAUGUUAACAGUGUCUGAAACAUCAGUGGAGUGUACAAUCUUACAAACCCAAAGCCGGCAGCCUUGUAUGUCUGGCCGACCAUAAUAUACUUCCUGCAGUACUUGUUGAGGAAGAGUCUGAGAUAAGGUAGUUCAUCAACAAUUGCACCUACACCUCCAAUUUUUUGCUUCCUCUUGAGAGUGCAUCAUUAUACUCUUCCAAUGUGCUAUAAUUUCUGAACUUGGAGCUGUCAAAUUUCAUGUGCUUUAUGAAGACGUCUUUGACAAAGGAACCUUCUUGGUACCCAACAUAUUCUCCAUUCUUGAUGAGAUCAUUGAGGUCUGUUAUAGUAGGUUGGAGCUGUUGCAGUGUCAACAUAGAUGUUAAGCUGGCUGUAUAACUUGAUGUCAGCACCAGAACCACAAAAACCCACACAAUCAGCAAAAAUCUUGUUAAGUUACUUGUUACCCUCUCUCCUGCAACAACCAGCCAUAUAUAUGAUUUGUUGAGACACAAGGAAAAAUCCUAUAUCUUUCGUAUAUAAUAAUAUGCUUUGAGUUAGUGUCUUACUAUGAGCAAAAACGAGAGUUGAGAAGGAAAACCAAAAUAUCAUCCCAACUUGGUUGCGUUUGGGUCCUCGGAACUCUUUGUUUACACGAUGUUCGAGUACCCAAACCACAAAACCAAUGAAAACGAAGAAUGCUCCAGUUGUUAUCCAAAGCUCGCUCUUUAGAGGUUUCAAGAAAAUCCAAGCAUCCCUCCUAUCAUCAUCCCUUACCGGCACAACUACAGAAAUACCUGACUCUAUAAAAGGUAAUGUGAAAUCCACAUACUCUGACCGGCUCGCUAAAAUGGUCACAUCACCUACAACUGCAUCAUAGUCCUGGCUCAAGCAAACAUUGAUUAUUCCAGUAUGUAUAGUUGAUUGUAAUAGCAGAAAAUAGAUAUCGAAGUCCCAAAAAGGGCCAUGUUAGUAAGAUAUAGAGCCAAAGAGGUUUAUUGGAACAGAGAUUAUAUAUUACCUGAGAGGUGAUCUUGUGAACAAGAUCAUCAUAGUCUGGAAGAGUGAGGGGAUCUUGUAUUGGAAAUGGAAUAAAUUCGUAAGGGAGAGCAUAUGGCAAAGAUAGGAUGACUUCUUUGAAGACAUCUGCACAGAAACCAGUUGCUGUUACUGCUUGUGUUUUUGAAUCUCUUUCCACUUUAAUGAGUUGCUCCAGCCCUCCUUUGAGAGGAACUCCAACCCUUAACUUCUUCCCACUUGUGGGCAUUUCCCAGCCUCUUGGAACAAUAGUUGAUUCACCAGGCCAAAAAAUGGCUCCUAGUUGCUUAUUAUUACACUUAACUGCUGUUUUACCAUUCAUCUUCAGUUUACACGAAAUGCCAUCCCUCUUCGUCCAAAAUCCAAUGUUUUUCUCUCCUUUCCCAAUUAUAUUCACAAUCUGAUAUGGGAUUGGCUGCAGUUCUCCAUUGAUGAUACGGAAAUCACCACUUAAUCCUUGUUUUAGCACUGUGUUUCGCAUAGAGUCAAUGAGCAGAGAUCCCACUGCUGACGUUCCAAGUGCAUCUAAGUCUGUUAAGUUCUCUCUGGUGUCUGGUUUCUUUAAUUUUGGGAUAGCAGUAGUGCCUACUUUAUCUACUGCUUCUGCUAAUGAGGUGAUGCUAUCGUAUGCCCAUAGCCCAAAAACAUUGAGUUCUAUUUGGUCCAUGUCUGGAUACUCUUGACGGAAUCUCUUUCUCCAUCUCUUUGUGUAGUUGUUAAGCUGAUUUGAUCUUGGAAUGUAAGGUUUUAUACCAAGAACACCUUGCAUUGAUGACUCGAUCACUGAAUGAUCUACCAAGUCCAGAAGACUCGUUAGCACAUCUGUGAUGAUCCAUGCAUAUCCACUGCUCAUCAUCCCUGCUUCUUUGGCCUUGAGAAAAAGGCGGGAGGCAAGAUAUGGACGCAAGUGCACGACGAACACCCUUGUUUGCUUUGUAUUCAUAUUGUAUAACUCCUUGAGAAUCUGAUCAUCAUUGGCUGACGGAGAAAUAACACUUCUAUAGGAGACUAAAGUGCUGAUUUCCAGUAAGGCAUCAGUCAAAUGUGGAACUAUCCCGAACCCAUAGGGGCUAUCCUCAUAGAUGACCACAACCUCCCUCCAAUCAAAGUUUUUAACAAGUGCUGCAAUGGCCUUAGUCUGGCUGGAAGAAGGAAGUGCUGCUCUGAUGAAGAAGGGAUUUUCCUUGACUGUAAGUAAAGGACUUGUUGCUGGAGAAAUGAUUGGGACUUUUACUCUGUUCCCUAAGUCGAUCACAAAAUCAGUUUGUGUAGACAUUUGUGGCCCAAAGAUAGCUUGUACUUGGACAUCCUUUAGCAAGUAUAUGGCUGCACAUACACAAUCAGACAAUAAGAAUUUACCCAAAGUAAGAGUUUAAUAGAAGUGAAUCAUGGAACUGAAUUUACCAGCAGAUGUUGCUUCAACAUCAUCUUUCUUGGAAUCCUUGAUAUGAGGAACUAUCCUUAUGGCACCGCGACUAGCGUUGGCAUGAUAAUCUUCAAGUGCUAGUAAGAUAGAUAUGUGCAUUACUUUUCCCACAUCUGUUUCCAGAUCAAGAAUUAUACCCACAUCCACCUUUACAGCACUAGUGUUAUUAUCUUCACCUCUUAUUCGAACCACAUAGUGGUAAAAGCUAAUGAUGGAGAUAAGUUGAAAUGAAAAGAAUUAGAAAAGUGGCAUCUUGGAUUAUGCAUUUGAAAAAACUCUGGUAGCAAGUAGUCUGAGAGAUGGGCAACAAGCAGUUGUGCUUGUGCAAGAUAACCACACAUUCAGAAUGACAAUUUUCCUAUAAUUAAUAAGACCAAACUCCAUAAAUGAAGAAAGAAAAGUCAAAGAACAAAUGGUUGAAAAUCAAGUAUUCGUUUGAUUAUUGAAAGUGAGGACUUUUCACAUAUGCUACAACCGCACAGCUAGUAAGCAUAUUACCCCUCAGGUUUGACUAAAUAAAAAUUUGACAAAAUUGAUUGGUACUCAUUCCCCAACACCCAAUUACUUUUUGUGUGUACUAUCUAGAGGAUAUAUUCAAGGGAACUUACAUGAAUUCAACUAAUUUAGGAGUUAAUUACUUAAAUACAUUGUAGUUUGCAAUAUUACGUAUUUUACUAGAUUUUGGUAUGUCCAGAUACAUUCAGAUACAUAUAUGUGAGGUUACUUAGGAUCAAAAUUAGGUGUAAUUUGCUCUAGAUGCAUUGUAUCUAAGUGACUUUGCAUGUAUCUGGGAUACAUAACAAAUCUCGCUCGCCUCUCUCCCAUCUCUCACUCUCCUAUGUAUCUGAUAUUCCAUAUACAUGUGAAUCACACCAGAUACAUACACAUAAAUGUAUCUUAUGUGUAUAUAGUGUGAUUCGCAUGUAUCUGGGAUACAUAACAAAUCCCGCUUGCCUCUUUCCUCAUCUCGUUCCCCUAUCUUCCUAUUUUUGUGUAUCUGAUGGCAAAAAUUCAUGUAGCCAAAUGUAUUUUCCUCAAUAUAUGAUAGGAAACUCUUAAUUAGUGAUAGUAUACGAAAUAUUUUAAAAGUAUAGAAUAUAAUAGUAUAUAUGAUAGUGAAGUAUGUCUAAUGAUAUAGUUUUUCUGUAUUGAAAGGACUUCCCAAAUUUUGGCUGAGGCAUAAAAAGUUGACAAAUUUAGCUCAGUUACAAAUUCCACAAUUAAACCAAUAAGUAGAAGAGACCAUUGUUUUCCAACUUGGACAAGGCUAGAUACGACUAGUAAUCUUUAGUUUACGCGUUUUCAGUUACUAGUCUUUGGACACGUGCGUUGCACGUAUAUCCCAUAUUAUAUGGUUGCAUAAUAUAUGUCUAUAGUUACAAAUAUAUGUAUAAAAAAAAAUUGAUUGUGAUAUAAAUUGGAAAACAUGUAUAAGAUAAGAAAUCAAAACAGAUACCCUCAAAUUUCAAACUAUAAGCAUAAUAAGAAUAUGUAUUUCUAAUGAGUUUAAUCAAUCAUACCUUGCAAUAAUCUCUGCAAUUCAUUGAGAAACUUUCAAUCCAUACAUCAACAUUCAAUCGUGUAUAUAUAAAGAAAACUUGAAAUGCAUAACAACAAUUAUAUCUAUAUUUUUUAAAACACUAUAAAGUCAUUUUUUCUUUUUGCAUUAUAAUAUGGAUUGCACACAAUUUCUAUUAAAAAAAAGAAAGACAAAAUUAGGAAAAAUCGUAUCAAUAAAUUGGAAUGAAAAAUGUAAAAUUGUAAUAAGAGGAAGAGAAGAAAAAUACAGUAGAAUAUAUUACCUAACCAUGAAUAAGGAAGUAUGUUGAGUAAAAGAAGAGUAAUGCAAAAGUGUGAACUGAUAUAUGGAGGAAAUUGACAAAUAUAAUAAUCUAUAUUGAAUAAUGAAAAACAACUCUUCAAUUUCUGCAAAAAUUUUAUAACUACGAGCUCAAAAUAAUAUAAAUUUAUUAAUUUAAUAAAUGACAUAAAUAAAUAAAUAACAUAUAUUGUGUGUAUGUGUAGUUAAUGGGGUAGUGAAAAAGACUCUUUCUGAAAUUAUUUUUAUCUCUUUAAAGUAAUUUUGAACUUUUGAUAUUAGUGCUAUAGAAAAUCAUAUAAAGUCAUAAGCCACUGCAAGUUUUUAUAGUAAUUAUCUUAUUAAAUUAUAUACCUAUUAUUAUUUUUAAUUAUUUAUAAUCAUUCCGAAAAUGUAUAAAUUAAUUUUGAAAAGCUUGUAAAAUGAGAAAUUAUUAUUUCUUAUCAUUAUUUUAGCUAUUAUUAACAUUUAGUAUGACAACAUUUUAAAAAAGCAGCUUCCUUUAAAUAUUAAUUGUUUCUAAAUUAACAUAGCCAAGAAUUUAAAAUGUUGUGACGUUUUGUUUAUCUAAACACGCAGAAUUUUGUUUUUGAACCUGGAACAUGUAAUUAAGCCUUGGGUGAAUUAUAAUUUUAUUUUUACUAUUUAAUUAAUUAAAUAAUUUGUAACAUUUUAAUAUAAUGAAGGGGUAAAAUGGUAACUCAACUUUAAAGGUUGGAGCUUCCCACUUUUAGUAAUAUAUGAUAAAUUGGUCAGUAGUAGUAACCUAGUUUAAUUUGAUAUAAUAACAUUCAUGACAAAAUAAAUUAAAUAUGGCUAAUUAAGAAAAUAUAAUUAAAUAUGAUUAUCUUUAAUGUUAUUUAAAUUUGUAGGCGAUUUUUUUUGUAUUUUAAAAUUAAAAAAAGGCCAAAAAACCCACAAAAAGAGAUAAAUAGGAUUGAAGCCCUUAGAGAGCGUCACCUCACCGUUUUCAUAUUCAACUUUAUUAUUAUAUAUGGAUUUAGAUUUUUGCACAACCUUAAAUUUAAGGACACAUUUAGAUAUUAUAUCAAACAUUCAUUUAUUUGAAGUUGAAAUUACAUUUUACAUGAAAAUUGGAUAUUCCAUAUUCACAUUGAGUAUGAAUCUUUUUGUUUUUUUUACAAAAUUCAAAAUAAAAAAAUACAAAACAUAAACUUAUAGAUCAAAUUUUACAUUUGACAUUUGAAAGUUUUACUUUUCAUUAAACGUUUUGUUAUAGAAUUUGGAAUCGCCCUUUGAAAUUAGUAUUUAUAAAUGAAAAUAUUGAUCUAGUCCUGUUGAAAUUGUGUCUGGCCUAGUACUUUUUCUUAUUAGAGUGAUUAUUGAAUUAGGUUUAAUAUCAAUUUUCUUAAUUAGUUUUGUCAAUUGGCAGUGCUAAGAAGAUGGGAAUUUACGUUAUAUUAAAUUAUCUUUACAUUAAUAAAAAAAGAAAUUGUUGUUAGUAUUAUUUGUAAUAUAAUUAAACAAAAAUAACAAUGGGAAGAAAAUAAUAAGUAAAGAUUACACGUUGUAUUAAAAUAAUAAGUAUUAAAAAUUAUGAUAAAUUUUAUAAUAGUCAUAACAGGAAUUUACGCAAUAAUUACUAUAUUAGAAUACUAGAAAAAUUGAUAAGUUCCUCGACAUCUAAUCAUUGAUUAAAAUUUAAAUUAUUAUUUUCUUCUGCGAAAGUUUAAGAGAUUAAAUUAAUGUUUUAAAAAAUAAUAUUAAUUAUUUUCAAUGAUUAAUAAGAAAAUGUAUAUAGCAAGUACAUGUAUUAUUAUUACAUUAUUUAUAUCCACUCUAUAUUAAAUCAUUUUUCUAUUAUAGUUUGACGCAAAUUUCAGAAUGUAAAGAAUGUUUUGGAUUCGAAAAAUAAAUAUUCAAAAUAUACUAACAUGUCAUUUAAUCUUAUGAUAUUUUACAUUUCAUGUGAAAAAAAAUUAAAUAUUAAUUUUUUAAUAUGAAAAAUAUUAAUUUAUUAAUACAACAUAAAAGUAAUAAAGGACAAUAUAUAAAAAUAUUUGAAGUAUUUGAUAUUUUAUUAAAUUAAAAUAAUUCUAAAUUAAUAUAUAGCCGCGCAACGCGCGGGUACGUAUACUAGUGAAGAACAAUAAUAAAGAAGAAGACAAUUGAGUUAAUAUUUAUUUUUUCCAAGUUUAAUUUAACACAUGACCAGUUUUUAUUGGUCAGUGCUGUCAAAAAGUUGCACCCACGCGCCUAAAAUAGGUGAAAUCACGGACUCAGCCACGUAGGCCAAAAAGUGGUAAACAAUUAACUAAAAAAUAAGUUCAGGGGGGUAAUAGGACUUUAGUAAAGGUUAGGUGUGUCUCAGGGAUUUUGGGCAUAGGCUGGGGGGGUACUUAUGCAUUUUCCCUUAUGUUAAAUAUACCAAAAUGUUUUUUAAUCUUAUGACUUUAAACAUGUCACGUGAAAAACUGAAAUUAAAGUGUUGCCAAAAAAAGAAGGGUCAUUUUUUUUAAACAGACUAAACAGAAAAGUAGAUCUUUUUAAAACGGAAGGGAAGUAAUUGUUAAUGCAAGAGGAAGCUGCUUGAAAAGUUACGUAUAUGAUGUUGAAGUUGUCUAACAUGCAAUGCUGGUCCUAUAAUCUUUCAUUAUUUAUUAUCCAUGACUAUGGGUGGAUAAUAAUAGUUAUCUGCUAUGAUCAUAUAUACCUAGGGGUGGACAUAUUACUUAGAAAACUUAUGUUAGGUAAUUUUGAUUUCUAAAAAUACUAUAUGGUGUAUGCUAUUUGCAGAUGAUAGUCCUAAUCGACCAGACUCGUAAUAGAGUUAAUGUUAAGCUAGAGAAGAUAAUAAUGGCUCCCUUCUCAAAUAUUUCAUUGGUAGAAAUUUGCCUUCCAGAAUUUCAUAAUUGCAUCUGAUCCUUUCUGAUAACUCAAAGGGCAUCUUAAAUUGGUGCGGAAGUUUAAUUUUGACAUGGAACGCAAAUAUAUGCGGAAAAUUAGUAAUUCAAUAAAUAUUUAAUUAUGAAUGCAUAUUACAAAAGUGCAAGGAAUUCAAUUGUAAGAUGUUGAAGGUUAAACCCAUAAAUUCUAAAUACUAGAGACGCCUCUUAAUGCAAAUAUAAUAUGGUUUAACUAUUUUAAACCUGGCUCAUCUCUCUUAAGUUGUCCCUGUAAUGUUUUCAUGAACUGGAGUUCCAGGUUCUGUUGUAGAGAACCCUUCAAGUGCAGGGGAUGCUCCUAAGCCGUCGGAAAUUCUGAUUUCUGGGCUUUGCAAAGGAAGGUGGGGCAAUAUUUCAGUAGAGGCUUCACUUUCUGCAAACAGCAUAGCUGUUUGGAUUUCAUUGCCUUCAGAUGGCUCUUCUGACAUAGAAUUAGAGUUGUCUCUCUCUUUAUCAAAGGCAUUUGCUAUUGCAGAAAGCUUUUGCCAUACUGAAUCAUCAGUGGCUAAGAUUUCUCUAUUCUGAUAAAGGAAGAUGAGGAAGAAUAGGAGAAGAGCGGAGCCCGCUGAUACACCAGCUAUGAGGAAAAGGCCCUUAAAACUAUCGAGCAUGAGGCUAGAUGCUAUAGCCAUUCCAUCUUGCUUUGGACAAUCUGUUUCAUUCCCAAACCAUUUCUGUAUUAUGUUAUUCAUAAACUCUCCUUCCAUCACCUGCAAGACUGCUCUUGAGACGUCAGGUACCAAAGGAGAUCCUUUUGGAAAUGCCUGCCAGAAGUUGGGGGAAAAUAAAAGAUUAAAUUAUUGAGUAGAACAUAAACCAUUCUAAACAAAUGUAAACACGUUCUGAAACAUCACUGGAGUGCAACAUUCUUACGAAUCCAAAGCCAGCAGCCUUGUAUGUCGGACCGACCAUAAUAUACUUCCUGCAAUACUUGUUGAGGAAGAGUCUGAGAUAAGGUAGUUCAUCAACAAUUGCACCAACACCUCCAUUUUUACUUCCUCUUGAGAGGGCAUUACUAUACUCUUCCAAUGUGCUAUAACUUAUGAACUUGGAACUGUCAAACUUCAUGUGCUUCAAGACAUCUUUGACAAAGGAACCUUCUUGGUACCCAACAUAUUCUCCAUUCUUGAUCAGAUCAUUGAGGUCAGUUAUAGAAGGUUGGAGCUGUUGCACUGUCAACAUAGAUGUUAAGUUGGCUGUAUAACUUGAUGUCAGCACCAGAACCACGAAAACCCACACAAUCAGCACAAAUCUUGUGAAGUUACUAGUAACCCUCUCUCCUGAAACAACCAGCCAUAUAUAUGAUUUGUUGAGAAACAAGGAUAAAUCCUAAAGCUUUUUGUAUAUAAUUUGCUUUGUGUUAGAGACUUACUAUGAGCAAAAACGAGAGUUGAGAAGGAAAACCAGAAUAUCAUCCCAACUUGCUUGUGUUUGGGUCCUCGAAACUCUUUGUUUACACGAUGUUCAAGUACCCAAACCACAAAACCAAUGAAGAUGAAGAAUCCUCCUGUUGUUAUCCAAAGCUCGCUCUUUAGAGGUUUCAAGAAAAUCCAAGCAUUCUUUCUAUCAUCAUUCUUUACCGACACAACAGCAGAAAUACCGGACUCUGAAAAAGGUAAUGUGAAAUCCACAUACUUGGCUCGGCUCGCUAAAAUGGUCACAUCACCUACAACUGCAUCAUAUUCCUGGUUCAAGCAAACAACGAUUAUUUUAGUAUAUAUGGUUGAUCUCAGUCAAAGAAGAAAGUAGAUAUGGAAGUCCCGGAAAGGAGCAUGUAAGGUAUUCAGCCAAAAAGGUUAAUUCAAAAAAGAAUUGGAUAUUACCUUUGAGGAGAUCUUGUAAACAAGAUCAUCAUAGUCUUGAGAAGUGGGGCUAACUAUUGGAAAUGGAAUAAAUUCGUAAGGGAUGGCGUAUGGCAAAGAUUGGAUAACUUCUUUGAAGACAUCUGGAAUGAAACCAGUUGCAGUUACUGCUUGUGUUUUGGCAUCUAUUUCCACUUUAAUGAAUUGCUCCAGCCCUCCUUUGACAGGAACUCCAACCCUCAACUUCUUCCCACUUGUGGGUAUUUCCCAGCCUCUCGGAACAAUAAUAGAUUCACCAGGCCAAAUGAUGGCCGCUAGUUGCUCAUUCAUACUCUUAGCUGUUUUACUAUUCAUCUUCAGUUUAUGCGAAAUGCCAUCCUUCUCGGUCCAGAAUCCAAUGCUUCUCUCUCCUUUCCCAAUUAUAUUCACAAUCUCAUAUGUGUAUAGCUGCAAUUCUCCAUCAAUGAUACGGAAUUCACCACUUAGUCCUGUUUUUGGCUUUGUAUUUCGCAUAGAGUCAAGGAGCAGAGAUCCAAAUUCUGAGGUUCCAAGUGCAUCUAAGUCCGUUAAAUUCUCUCUAGUGUCUGCUUUCUUGAAUUUUGGGAUGAUGGUAGUGCCCACUUUUGCUAUUGCUUUUGUUAAUGCGGUGAUGCUAUCAUAUGCCCAUAGCCCGUAAACAUUGAGUUCAACUGGGUCCAUGUCUGGAUACUCUUGACGGAAUCUCUUUCUCCAUCUCCUCGUGUAAUUGUUAAGCUCAUUUGAUCUUGGAAUAUAAGGUUUUAUACCAAGAACACCUUGCAUUGAUGACUCAAUUACUGAAGUAUCUACCAGGUCCAGAAGACUCGUUAGCACAUCUGUGAUGAUCCAUGCAUAUCCACUGUUCAUCAUCCCGGUUUCUUUGGCCUUGAGGAAAAGGCGGGAGGCAAGAUGUUCUUGCAAGUGCACAAUGAACACCCUGGUCUGCAUUGUCUUCAACUUGUAUAGCUCCCUGAGGAUUUGAUCAUCAUUGGCUGAAGGAGAAAUACCACUUCUAUAGGAGACUAAAGUAUUGAUUUCCAGCAAGGCAUCAGUCAAAUAUGGAAGUAUCCCGGUUCCAUAGGGGCUUUCCUCAUAGAUUACUACAACCUCCCUCCAAUUAUAGUUUUUAACAAUUGCUGCAAUGGCUUUAGUCUGACUGGAAGAAGGAAGUGCGCCUCUGAUGAAGAAGGGAUUUUCCUUGACUGAAAGUGAAGGACUAGUUGCUGGAGAUAUUAUAGGAACUUUAACUCUGUUCCCC
RNAcentral lists this long non-coding RNA (82855 nucleotides) under Solanum tuberosum (potato). RNAcentral's name for it is "long non-coding RNA (STUB_LNC006715)". The record is from RNAcentral. Lineage: Eukaryota; Viridiplantae; Streptophyta; Magnoliopsida; Solanales; Solanaceae.